RNAcentral lists this long non-coding RNA (60687 nucleotides) under Erythranthe guttata (spotted monkey flower). Its description in RNAcentral is "long non-coding RNA (EGUT_LNC000586)". The record is from RNAcentral. Lineage: Eukaryota; Viridiplantae; Streptophyta; Magnoliopsida; Lamiales; Phrymaceae.
UUCAGGGAUUAUAAUGAAGCACAUAAGGUGAGGUUGAACGGGAAGUAUAUUGAGCUUCAAUUAACUCGGAGGUUUAUGGCAGAGGUGGUUACGUUGCCUAGUCCGCUUGUUAAGCGCAUUUUGGAGAAAAAUAUGGAGGAGAAGAUGCGUGUCGGUGAAAUUAAAGAAGGUGAUUCGGUUACUGUUGACCUUGGUUCUGAUGGGAAGAUAUUGGUUCUUGACAGUAGAAGCGGUACUCUGGCGGAAGAGGCUGAGGAAGGUAGCAGUGGUGCUCCGGCAGAAGAGGCUCCGGCAGAAGAGGCUGAGGAACCAGUUAUUGUCUAGAUGUGCGCCCCAUUGUCCUUUUUCCUGUGGUGUUUAUUUAUUAUUAUUUUUUUAUCGUUCUGGCUAUGUUGAGGUGACUGUGUAGAGCCAGUGCAACGAGAAUGAUUUAGAGUGCUCUUUAACUUCAGAAUCGUUCUGGCUGUGUUGAGCUGACCUCCCAGUUGUUAUAGUAGACUAAAACUUUCCUAUGUAAACAAUUUAUUUUUAAUAAAAGUUUAUUCGUUCGAGAAUUUGCAUUUGGUUAUUAGUCGCCUAUAAUUUGAAAAAUGAUUAUUCAAUAUAUUAAUUGCAAGAGUCCAAAUAUUGUAAUAGUAUUUGAGAUGUUGUGUUAAGUUAGGAUGUUGUACACGUAAGAUCAUUUUUAAAGUUCGUUUAGAAUAUUAAGUUUAUAAGCUUAAUUGGGAACUUAUAAACUUAAUAUUCUAAACGAACUUUAAUUGUGUGUGUGAGAGAGAGAGAGAGUGAGAGAGGCGGCGGAAAAAAGCUGAGCCGCCGUGCCAAAACCCUUAUUGGUUUUACCGCCAAAAGCCUCGUCAAUUUCGUUCUGUCCUUGAUUUUGUUUGGUUGAUUUACACCUUUGUGUUGAUUUAUUCCUGUAAAUCUAUCUUAAUUUUUUUUAAGUUUAUGAUAAUUAUAGAAAAAAAAAAUUAUUAUUAUUUUAAGAUAAAUAGUAUAUGAUUCUUCAAGAAUUAUUGUUCUUUUUAUGAAUAAACAUCAACCCAAAUCAUUUGUUGGUUCCGAUUAAUUCAUGAUUCGUAUUUUUAGAGAAAAUUUCACUUUUUUUAAACUUUAAAUUCUAAUUAUUAAUAGGUGUUUGAGACAUUACUAAGAAAAAUCUCAAAAUAAGUUUAAAUAAUUCCGCUUGAAAGCCAUACAACUAAUCGAGCUCGAGUCAGAGUUCAUCGAACUUUAAUUAUUAUUAUUUUUAGUUCAAAUAGGAUAGUUGCCCAAAAAGCUUAAACCUUUGUAUCAUAAGUGAUGAUGAUAGCAUUGAUAAUAAUGUAUAUUAAUCAAUAUAGAUUAUAUAACAUUGACUCGUCCUUAGUGAACUCAUCCAAUUUGGCAUAUCUCAUUAAAAAAAAUGAUUAAAUAAGAUUGUCAAGAAAAAGAAGACUAAAACUUUAAAAGUGGGUUAGAACUUUAAACAUUAAAUACUUUAGAUAGGAAUCAUUAUGUAGCCAUUUCAUCUCAAUAUACACUAACAAUUUUCAAAAGUAGGUGGUGUUUACUAUAAGCUUAUUUAAAAGCAGAAGUUAAUAAUUGUGAGUUAAGUGAGUAUUAAAUGUUUAUUUCAAAAAAUUGGGGACAUUUGCAAAUAUGUUAGAAAAUCAACUUAAAUAGAAAAAACAAGUCUAGAGAUGUUUUUAAAAAAAUAGUUUAAAGCAACUUAUUUUAGGAGAAACAUGAACAAAAGCUAGUUUUACAAACACCGAGAAACAGAUUAUGAGCAAAAAAAACCUCAAAAGCUGCUUCUAAAAAUUUUAGCAAACAAGUGAAUGAAACAAAUAUUUAGUACGUGAAGAAAUAAUUAAAGGGCUAAACCUAUUUAAGCCCAAUUAGUAAAUUGGGCUCAGUGUUCAAAUCCGGGUCCUUCAAACGACCCACUUUUAAAACGGACAUACAAUUCGGAUCGUACCAGAUUCCCAAUUUCACAAGGCCCAUCUUCUUCUUCUGCUUCACUAUUUUCCAAAGCGUGCCCCUUUCCAUUUCUCUCAUUUUUUUUCUCGCUCAAUCCUCCGCUGUUCAUCCACUCGCUCUCGUUCUUCUUCAUUUAUUUUCAACGCUCUUACUCAGGUAAAUCCUCUUUUCCUUACUCUUUAAUUCAUAUAUAUUCGUCGAUAACUGCCGAUUUCUCACAUCUAGGGUUCUUUUCUCGAUUGUCUGUUAGAUUUAAAUCUUUGUGGCGAAUCGAGUGUUAGUCUUGAUUUUUUUAUGAUUUAGAUUCUUCAUUUUUUGGUUUUUUUUUUUAAAUCUGUUUAUUGCGUGUGAUUUUAUGUUUAUUGAAGCUUGUGUUUAAUUUAGGGUUUAUGUUGGAAAAAUUUGGGUCUUUAGUGGGAGUUUUGCUAAAGAUCUAGACUUGAGAUCUAGACUUGAGAUGAUUAUAAAGAUCUAGACUUGCCGCCACAAUGAUACGAAUUAGAAGCUAUUGUUUUUCUGCGGUGCUGGUCAAUUGUAAUAGGAUUUGAGUUUCGCCGUGGUUUUGGCUUUCUGAUUGCUUCCUUUGUUGUUAGAGUUUGAAAUGAUAUCAAUUUCAUUCUAAUUUGAGAAAAUGCCUGCUGACUCCUUAAUUUCAGAUAUUUGAAAAAAAAAAUGUUUUCUUUUAAAACAGAAUUGGAUGCUUGUAAGAUUGUUUACAUUGUUGAACCCAGAAACAAAAUUAGUCUCUGCAGAUAGCAUUCUAAAAGCCUCUCAUUAUUUGAAAUAACAAGCAGAUCACCAGUGCUGUAUUUGUUGGUAUUCUGUGGAUGUUGAUGCAUUCAUUUUGGCUAUUUCAUAUCUAGAAAUGCUAUUGUAUGUUUUGGUUGUUUUCUAAUUUCUUUAACUUAUACGCAGACCACUCGGGUGCAGACAUGAUUGAUCGUUUUAUCGACAAUACGAUGUUCAGGGAUUAUAAUGAAGCAAAUAAGGUGAGGUUGAACGGGAAGUAUAUUGAGCUUCAAUUAACUCGGAGGUUUAUGGCAGAGGUGGUUAUGUUGCCUAGUCCGCUUGUUAAGCGCAUUUUGGAGAAAAAUAUGGAGGAGAAGAUGCGUGUCGGUGAAAUUAAAGAAGGUGAUUCGGUUACUGUUGACCUUGGUUCUGAUGGGAAGAUAUUGGUUCUUGACAGUAGAAGCGGUACUCUGGCGGAAGAGGCUGAGGAAGGUAGCAGUGGUGCUCCGGCAGAAGAGGGUGAGGAAGGUAGCAGUGGUGCUCCGGCAGAAGAGGCUCCGGCAGAAGAGGCUGAGGAACCAGUUAUUGUCUAGAUGUGCGCCCCAUUGUCCUUUUUCCUGUGGUGUUUAUUUAUUAUUAUUUUUUUAUCGUUCUGGCUAUGUUGAGGUGACUGUGUAGAGCCAGUGCAACGAGAAUGAUUUAGAGUGCUCUUUAACUUCAGAAUCGUUCUGGCUGUGUUGAGCUGACCUCCCAGUUGUUAUAGUAGACUAAAACUUUCCUAUGUAAACAAUUUAUUUUUAAUAAAAGUUUAUUCGUUCGAGAAUUUGCAUUUGGUUAUUAGUCGCCUAUAAUUUGAAAAAUGAUUAUUCAAUAUAUUAAUUGCAAGAGUCCAAAUAUUGUAAUAGUAUUUGAGAUGUUGUGUUAAGUUAGGAUGUUGUACACGUAAGAUCAUUUUUAAAGUUCGUUUAGAAUAUUAAGUUUAUAAGCUUAAUUGGGAACUUAUAAACUUAAUAUUCUAAACGAACUUUAAUUGUGUGUGUGAGAGAGAGAGAGAGUGAGAGAGGCGGCGGAAAAAAGCUGAGCCGCCGUGCCAAAACCCUUAUUGGUUUUACCGCCAAAAGCCUCGUCAAUUUCGUUCUGUCCUUGAUUUUGUUUGGUUGAUUUACACCUUUGUGUUGAUUUAUUCCUGUAAAUCUAUCUUAAUUUUUUUUAAGUUUAUGAUAAUUAUAGAAAAAAAAAAUUAUUAUUAUUUUAAGAUAAAUAGUAUAUGAUUCUUCAAGAAUUAUUGUUCUUUUUAUGAAUAAACAUCAACCCAAAUCAUUUGUUGGUUCCGAUUAAUUCAUGAUUCGUAUUUUUAGAGAAAAUUUCACUUUUUUUAAACUUUAAAUUCUAAUUAUUAAUAGGUGUUUGAGACAUUACUAAGAAAAAUCUCAAAAUAAGUUUAAAUAAUUCCGCUUGAAAGCCAUACAACUAAUCGAGCUCGAGUCAGAGUUCAUCGAACUUUAAUUAUUAUUAUUUUUAGUUCAAAUAGGAUAGUUGCCCAAAAAGCUUAAACCUUUGUAUCAUAAGUGAUGAUGAUAGCAUUGAUAAUAAUGUAUAUUAAUCAAUAUAGAUUAUAUAACAUUGACUCGUCCUUAGUGAACUCAUCCAAUUUGGCAUAUCUCAUUAAAAAAAAUGAUUAAAUAAGAAUGUCAAGAAAAAGAAGACUAAAACUUUAAAAGUGGGUUAGAACUUUAAACAUUAAAUACUUUAGAUAGGAAUCAUUAUGUAGCCAUUUCAUCUCAAUAUACACUAACAAUUUUCAAAAGUAGGUGGUGUUUACUAUAAGCUUAUUUAAAAGCAGAAGUUAAUAAUUGUGAGUUAAGUGAGUAUUAAAUGUUUAUUUCAAAAAAUUGGGGACAUUUGCAAAUAUGUUAGAAAAUCAACUUAAAUAGAAAAAACAAGUCUAGAGAUGUUUUUAAAAAAAUAGUUUAAAGCAACUUAUUUUAGGAGAAACAUGAACAAAAGCUAGUUUUACAAACACCGAGAAACAGAUUAUGAGCAAAAAAAACCUCAAAAGCUGCUUCUAAAAAUUUUAGCAAACAAGUGAAUGAAACAAAUAUUUAGUACGUGAAGAAAUAAUUAAAGGGCUAAACCUAUUUAAGCCCAAUUAGUAAAUUGGGCUCAGUGUUCAAAUCCGGGUCCUUCAAACGACCCACUUUUAAAACGGACAUAGAUAUUCGCCGAAGCACCACGAUUCUGAAACGCAACAAAGAUAAGGCAGAGAAAUCGUUUGAAACGUCUACAGAUGUCUACAGUUCUCUCAUUUUUUUUCUCGCUCAAUCCUCCGCUGUUCAUCCACUCGCUCUCGUUCUUCUUCAUUUAUUUUCAACGCUCUUACUCAGGUAAAUCCUCUUUUCCUUACUCUUUAAUUCAUAUAUAUUCGUCGAUAACUGCCGAUUUCUCACAUCUAGGGUUCUUUUCUCGAUUGUCUGUUAGAUUUAAAUCUUUGUGGAGAAUCGAGUGUUAGUCUUGAUUUUUUUAUGAUUUAGAUUCUUCAUUUUUUGGUUUUUUUUUUAAAUCUGUUUAUUGCGUGUGAUUUUAUGUUUAUUGAAGCUUGUGUUUAAUUUAGGGUUUAUGUUGGAAAAAUUUGGGUCUUUAGUGGGAGUUUUGCUAAAGAUCUAGACUUGAGAUCUAGACUUGAGAUGAUUAUAAAGAUCUAGACUUGCCGCCACAAUGAUACGAAUUAGAAGCUAUUGUUUUUCUGCGGUGCUGGUCAAUUGUAAUAGGAUUUGAGUUUCGCCGUGGUUUUGGCUUUCUGAUUGCUUCCUUUGUUGUUAGAGUUUGAAAUGAUAUCAGUUUCAUUCUAAUUUGAGAAAAUGCCUGCUGACUCCUUAAUUUCAGAUAUUUGAAAAAAAAAAUGUUUUCUUUUAAAACAGAAUUGGAUGCUUGUAAGAUUGUUUACAUUGUUGAACCCAGAAACAAAAUUAGUCUCUGCAGAUAGCAUUCUAAAAGCCUCUCAUUAUUUGAAAUAACAAGCAGAUCACCAGUGCUGUAUUUGUUGGUAUUCUGUGGAUGUUGAUGCAUUCAUUUUGGCUAUUUCAUAUCUAGAAAUGCUAUUGUAUGUUUUGGUUGUUUUCUAAUUUCUUUAACUUAUACGCAGACCACUCGGGUGCAGACAUGAUUGAUCGUUUUAUCGACAAUACGAUGUUCAGGGAUUAUAAUGAAGCACAUAAGGUGAGGUUGAACGGGAAGUAUAUUGAGCUUCAAUUAACUCGGAGGUUUAUGGCAGAGGUGGUUACGUUGCCUAGUCCGCUUGUUAAGCGCAUUUUGGAGAAAAAUAUGGAGGAGAAGAUGCGUGUCGGUGAAAUUAAAGAAGGUGAUUCGGUUACUGUUGACCUUGGUUCUGAUGGGAAGAUAUUGGUUCUUGACAGUAGAAGCGGUACUCUGGCGGAAGAGGCUGAGGAAGGUAGCAGUGGUGCUCCGGCAGAAGAGGCUCCGGCAGAAGAGGCUGAGGAACCAGUUAUUGUCUAGAUGUGCGCCCCAUUGUCCUUUUUCCUGUGGUGUUUAUUUAUUAUUAUUUUUUUAUCGUUCUGGCUAUGUUGAGGUGACUGUGUAGAGCCAGUGCAACGAGAAUGAUUUAGAGUGCUCUUUAACUUCAGAAUCGUUCUGGCUGUGUUGAGCUGACCUCCCAGUUGUUAUAGUAGACUAAAACUUUCCUAUGUAAACAAUUUAUUUUUAAUAAAAGUUUAUUCGUUCGAGAAUUUGCAUUUGGUUAUUAGUCGCCUAUAAUUUGAAAAAUGAUUAUUCAAUAUAUUAAUUGCAAGAGUCCAAAUAUUGUAAUAGUAUUUGAGAUGUUGUGUUAAGUUAGGAUGUUGUACACGUAAGAUAUGUUGCCAAGAAUGACCAUUUGCAGAAAAAAAAAUUAAAUUAUUAACUAGAACACUUGGAGUAGAUGUUUUACAGUGACAAUCUUCUAAUGUUACCAUAGUAACAGAAUAUAUUUUGGCAUGAGGAUUCACUGCAUAAUGUUAUCAUUUCAAGUCAACUCCUAUGGUAUUUUUCUAGUUUUUGUCAGAAGUAAUAUUCUAAAUCGUAGUUUUCUGUGUGGAAUUUUAACACAGGUUGGUAUGGCUGCUACUCUAGCUGGGGUGUGCCAGGUACCCCUCACGGCAGUUUUGCUUCUUUUUGAACUAACACAAGAUUAUCGAAUUGUUCUGCCACUUUUGGGAGCUGUGGGACUCUCUUCAUGGGUUACAUCUGACAAGACAAGGAAAAGAGUCACUGAUAAAACCAGCAAAACGAAAGACCAAAACGUUGUAGCAACUUCACCAGAGAGAUAUUCUUACGACUCCACUGUUAACUCUACUUCUCCUAAUGUCAAGGAACCAAACGGUAGUAGCCUUUGUGAACUCGAGAGUUCACUCUGUCUGAAUGAUGAAUCUGAAGAUGAAGCGGAUGACCUGGCAAAUGAAAUCUUGGUCCCUUCUCUGUCAUUGAAGAACAUCUGAAUACGAUUCUUCCAAAUUGUUUUGAUGCAAUUGGUCUGAUGCUCAUGAUUCGCAUUAUAUACCAGUACCAGGUGAGAUGCUGCAGCAAUAUGCCAAUAUCUGAUCGUGUUUAAAUUUUGUUUCAAAAAUCAUUCCAGCUUCAUAAUGUGAACCGAGUCCAUCUCUUCCAUCCUUCCACAAAUUUACUGUCAUUUGUGGAUUCAAGUUUCAUGUUUUCAUAUUUAAUCUUGUGUGAUUUUUUUUCCGCUGUUGAAGCUUAUAGAAGUUUUUAUUGAAUAUGACAAACACGUUGAAUCUAUUUCGUUGAGUAUUUCUUUACCAUCCUAUGAUGAGAACAGUCACAUGUAAUGAGGGAUCAAGGCAGUAUAUCAAUCCUUAGAUUCUUGUGAACAAGCCAAAUUGUUUUCUCCAAUUAAAGUUUCUUGGAGUUGUUUGCCAUCAUUAUGGUGCGCAGUAGUUUCUAUUAAAUAGAGGGGUAGACUGGGUUCAGCAGACUAAAUUGUUACCCGAACUCCUAAGCAUUUGUUUUGUAGCUGUAGCAGUUCUCCAACUCGGGCAUUUGUUUUUCCUUCAGUAAACUUUGUUGCAAGUUUGUUUUCAUUAAGAUUUUUAAUUUGCAACCAGUAAGUGUUGGGACAUGAAUGACAUCUGCUUAUUGUUUUCAAUUUCUAUGAUUAAAAUCUCGAGUAAAUUUGUACUAUCCACAUUUGUUUUCUCUUUUCAUAGCUUUUGAUUUUCGUAUUUUUUCCUUCUUAGCUUAUAAUGUCUCGGAGGCGAAUACCGUGUCUGGAUUCAUACUUGGAUAAGGUAUGUAUAAUCAACUUCACUAAGUGAAUAUUUGCUUCUGAGACCUACUUUGUGGUUCCACCUGUGAUUUCUCCCUACAUGUGCCCUGAAAUGGUUUAUAUGAUCUAAAAUUUGCAAUCUGGAGAAACAAACUCUUCCGUUGAUAGAAAUCACUGAAACAGUUUCAUAUGAAUCUGAGCAGGUCAACAUUUCGUUAUGGCCCCGAUUUAAGAUGGUGUUUGACAUGCACCUCAACAGCCUUAGAAAUGCCAAUGUCCGCACUUUGUGGGAAGAUGAUGUGCAUCCUCAUUAUGUAAUGAGGCGUUAUGCUGAAUUUACAGCUUCCCUAAUCCAGCUUAAUGUUGAUUAUGGAGAUGGUCAGGUUAGAAACAGACCGUAGUUUCUCAGUCCUUGCUAAGUUUUGAUUAUUAGACUUUCAACAUCACUUAUUUUUAUUUUUAUUUUUUUGGGUGUAAAAUUGGCUACAUUCUCAGCUUGAACUCAACUUGGAGAGAUUGCGAAUGGCUGUAGAUGAUUUACUUGUCAAGCUUGCCAAACUAUUCCAGAAACCGAAGUUGCAAACUGUAUUUUUGAUAAAUAACUGCGACAUGACAAUUGCUGUAUUGAAGGUAAACUAUGAUAUUCAAGUCAAAUAUGAUCCAAAAGGUGAAAUCCAAGAAUUUAUUAGCUCCUUGAAUUUAGAAGCAUGUUAGACGUUCUCGUAAAAUGUAUUCACAAAUAUCUCAUUACACCUACAAAUGUUUGAAACCCAAUUGUUUAAAAAACCACAAGAGAACCCCCCAUCCCACAUCUACACACACAACUACACACACAAAAGGGAAAAGGAAAUCUUGGCGGUUCCACUUCUUAUAUGUUAGAUACAAUGUAUACACAUGCACAUGCGAUACAAUUGGUACAUAACUUAAUUAUUUGUUCUGUAAUAAUUUGCAUCCUAUAUGUUAAAUGUUGGUUGUAAAUAUUUUCAUGUAUGUCUCAGGAAGCUGGUCCUGAGGGGAGCAAAAUUCAAAUGCACUUUGAAGAGUUGCUGAAAAGCAAUACAUCCAUUUAUGUGGUAAUAAUUGUGAUACGAUAGAUUGUUAGGCCUACUUGAGCUGCAAGAACUCAUGCUUGUGCAAUUGGAAUAGCUGGGCAGUUCUAUUUCAUUGAAUCUACUUCAAGUAUUCUUUAUUUUCUGAGAACAAACCUUUCCGAUUAGACGAGCAUGUCUUAAGUACCUUAUUGGAAGAGAAAUAUGUGCUUGGAAGGCCAGUUUGUUUCUUUUUCUGACUACACCAAAAGAUUUUAAAACCUACCUUUUCUGUUUGAACAACAAAUGGAUAACGUCCAACCAUUGUUCGAUCCUUUCAUUUCAUGAUGGUUAUAAUGUAGGCAAUUCAAGCUCUCUUUGCUUGGAUAGUAUUUAUCUGAUUGAUAUUAAGCUUUAACCUACAUGACAUCAUGUGCGUUUGUCCGAACUCAUUAUUUUCAAAUGCAGGAGGAACUACUCAUGGAACACUUCAGUGACUUGAUCAAAUUUGUAAAGAUUAGAGCAUGUAAGUGUGUACGUACAUAUAUGUUGAAAAUAAUAUCAGAGUCAUGUAUGUGUGAUGUGCGUAUAUACAUACAUAUUGGUUGAUGUUUAUAUAUGUGUUGGUGAAAAACAGCGGAGGACCCAAGUUCCGGUUCGUCAGAGCGGCCGAUUAGUGUGAGUGAAGUAGAGCCAAUAAUAAAGGACUUUGGCAGCAGAUGGAAAGCUGCAAUAGAGCUGAUGCACAAUGAUGUGAUAACUUCAUUUAGUAACUUCUUAUGUGGUAUGGAAAUUCUGAGAGCAGCUUUGACACAGCUAUUGCUUUACUACACGAGGCUUUCGGAUUGCAUGAAGAGAAUCGCAGGUGGGUCUAGCUUGAACAAGGACUUGGUUUCCAUAUCUUCCAUAAUGUACGAGAUUAGAAAAUACUCCAGGACCUUUUGAUUUCAUACUUUGUUUCUCAUUGUCUUUUAUGUAAAAUUUUCUGGCUUUGCUUGUAACAUACAUGUUCCUGAUUUUUUUAUUGAAGAGAGACAGCUUUUUGUUGUGCGUAACCAAUUUUUUUUAGCUUAAAAUUUCUGACCAGGCCAUUUCAUUGAUUCUAUACGGAGUGGUGAUUGAUGUUGGUGGUGAUGGGUAGUGAAUUUUAAUAAAUUGAGUUGGGUAGUUGAUUAUAUUGGCAAAAUAUGGUAGCGUGUAGAGUAACUGUGACAAUUUUUAAUUUGGACAAUAUCUACUCCAAUUAUUAUUAUGAUGAAUAUGUAGAAAACUUGCUGCGCUUCUCUUUACUGACAAACUAUUGAACUACGAAGUCCAAACAUAAGAUUAAACUGAACCAGCUAACAACGUACAACAGUAAUAAUUAAUUAAUACUAAUCCCAAACUAGGAAAGCAAUUUGAAAGAGAAACGAGAACUAAACUAGUUUUACAUUCAGAGGCCAGGCCGCGCCAAAAUUGGAGCAAAUAUAAUUCACUCGCUAAUCGAACAUAUUCUUCAUCUGUUUCAACAACACUAGUCUAAAAAUAUCCAUCCAUAGGGCAAACGAACAUCAUCAAAUACAUUGCCAAGAGAAGAACAAAGAAAAAGAAAGUAAAUCAAGAGCUUCCUUCUGGCUCAUCGGUUCCUAGAACUGUCAGAGUAGGAGUCUCUGGUUCCUCCACACCAACACCAUUCACCUUGCUGUUACAAGAACCAACAAAAAUCAGGAGAAGAAAAAGAACCGAUUCUGAUACUUAUAGAAAACACGAACCAAUGCAAGAUUAUUCUUUUAAAUGUAAUAAUGCUCCAUCAUCACUACACAAGGAAAACAUAAUUAAGGUUUUCAGACAACCUAAUAACCAUCCAUGUAUAUAAAAAAGUCAAUGGCGACAAGACCAAGUUUUUCUUUGAACGUGCAUUACAAUGUAAGCCUAACAUGGAUUCUUUUGGGAAUAAUCUACCUAAGUUCUCUUACAGCUUCAAACAUAAUGCAAUACACAUACAGAGAACUGUACUUUUCUUUUUUCAUUUAGGUCUAACAAACAUUUAGCAGUAGAUCAUUACAAGAUAUGACAAUUCUUGGACACACGACAGGGGAUAUCACAUAAUCAAACCGAUUCGAGUACCUAAAUUAUCAUAUAAAAAGAAGGGAAGUGAAAUAAUUGCAUAAGAAUGGUUGAACUUAAGUACUGAAAAAUGGAUCCUGUCAGAAAUAAACCAGAUAAAACAAUAUGCUUAUAACGAGUUGUGUAAUGUUUCAGAAGAAAAAAAACAACAUAAUACAGGUAAAUAUUAAAGAUUCAUAGCACGGAACGAUUUAAAAGGCCAACCGACCCCAAUUUGCACUAAUAAAUCAUAAACCUCCUGUAAGAGGAGUCAUAGAGAAGAAACUUACUAGCAUGUCUUCUUAUUGUGGCCCAGGCCUUUGCACUUGCUACAUUGGAGCUGGCGCUUAAUGACAUCUACAGAUUCAGCUGAUUUCAACUUUGGUCUGCCAGGCGGACGUUUAGUAGGAGGAGGAGUUACAAUAGUUGCUUCAUGCAGUUCACUUCUCUCUGGUUUCUCCACAUUUGGUAUGGGGUUGAUUGACUCUGUAUAAGUCAAGCGAUAACUCUCAGUCGUGAAGAAUCUAGAGCAAAAAUCAUAAAGGCUCCUUCCAAGACAAUUGAUAACAGCAAUAGCAUGGCAGCAAGGCAACCCCAUUAGCUGCCACCCUUUGCAACUGCAGUCCCAGUGAUCAAUGUCCACUAUGUCCACCGACUCACCACCGCGGACCUCAAACGUACUGCCAUGCACGAGCGCCACUUGAAAUGAUCUCGCUUUUGACAUCUCAAGCUGAAGUUUAUCCUCCAUAAAAGGUGUCAACCUUGUAACCCAUUGACUGGAUUCAAGUCUUCGCCUAUAGAUCAAUUCCAUAAUCUUGCCACGUAACACAUCAACCAUCUGAGUUAUAGGCAACUCAUCCACCUCAGACACCCAACUGUAGAACUGUUGGCCAAAGUUGGAUGUCAUAUGGUUAUAUCUAGCCCCACCAAAAAUUGCAUUGGCCCAGUGCUCUGGUUGACUUCUAAUGACCCAAUCAUAAGCCUCGAUGGAUAUAGCCUUAAUGUUUUCAGCACACCUUUCGAACACCUCGACUUUGGGUGCAUAGGCAGCAGCAUAGAAAUCUUGAACCAUGAGGCGCCUCGCAUCAUGAGAAAAUUGUCCUUUCAGAUCCUUAUUUAGCUUCUCCGCAAGGGAUCGUAAACAGUAACCGUGAUUGCACUCGUUGCCAAAUAUAUCAAUCAAGGACUGCUUUAUGCCUUUCUGGAAAUCAGAAACAAAAGUUAUGUGCUCCGAAGUUGAGAGAGCAGAUUUCAGUUCUGACAGAAACCACUUCCAGUUAUCCUCGGUUUCUUCAUCCACCACAGCGAAAGCUACAGGGAAAAAAUCAUCAUUCCCAUCUGCAGCUGUUGCGGCUAAUAAGGUUCCUUGAUAUUUCGAGUAAAGAAGAGUGCUAUCGAGAAAAAGAAGAGGACGGCACUGAUGAAAACCAGAUAUUGAGGCAUGAAAUGACACGAAAAAUCGGCGAAAGCUCGAAUCUUCCUUAGUGCUGAAUGUAGCGAGACUUCCCGGAUUAGUCUCCAUUAUAUUCUGGCAAAAAAAUGGUAACUGAGAGUAUGCCUCUUUAUAAGAACCCUGAAGCUGUUCUCUUGCUAUCUCCUUGGCACGCCAUGCCUGCGUAUAGUUCAACUGAAUACCAUACUCGCGCUUGAUAUCACUUGCAAUAUCCUUUGGUUUAUAAUUCGGAGAAACUUUCAGUUUCUCCUUUAUGAUAUUGCCUAUCCAUCCCCUAGUUGCUCUAUAACCAGCUUUUACGGUGGCCCCUUCACAAGUAUGCUCGGGAUUCAUCUUUUUUAUACAUAUUAACUGAGUUGUGGCCAACCUAGAUGCAUAUAUGCGCCAUGGACAACCUUCUGUUUUGCACUUGGCAGUCACACGAUGGCUGUCAUUUUUCUUAUACUUGUAGGUGAAGCCGUGGGCAAUGGAGUAUUUAUGCAGAGCUUCACGAAAUUCGGCAAAAGUAUUGAAUCUUUGGUCCACACCUGUGAUGAUAUUCUCCUACUGAGUUGCUGCUCUCCGAUGCCUAUCUUCAUUGCUAAUAGGCUCAUCUAAAACAAUUGCAUCAUCAGUUUGCAUAACAUCCACAGGGACAUCUGAAGGAACUGCUGCCCCAGACACAGUUGUCCUGCUUGACCUGUAUAGUUAAACCAAUCAUAGUAUUAGAUUUUUUUUUGAAGGGAAGUGCAUUCACUUAAAUUUCACAAACAAAAACAUGCUUGAUUUCAUAAUAAUAAGGCGGAAGACAAGCUUUACUAUGAAACAACUUGUUUCAGUUUCCUUUAAAUGAAUCAACAUAAAUACUAUAGAAGGAUAACUUAGGCGGGUGAGUGGUUUGAAUUUUCCACAAAACGAGACUGCAUUGAAAAAAUUCACAACAUGCAUCAUAAAAUUCAGAAGCAUGACUGCAGUAAACUGAAGAAUAUACGAAAGAUUUGCGCCAUUAGCAGUCAGUCAGCCUUAACUACUCACACACAACUCCAUUUCAGUUGAAACAGUUAUACUUGUUCAUUUUACUUGUCUAAAAAACAAUUGUAACAUCUGAGAAUUGAAACAAUAAAAGCUGAAGAAGUUGAGUAAUGGCAAAUACCUACUGGCAGGCAUGUUGGACACAUUUGGAGCAGCGGCUUCUUCUUCUUCAGCAAUAAUAAAGACCUCAACUUGAUCAGUGUCCUUGAAGAAGUUAACCAUACGCUUGAGAUCUUUAUCCUUAGAUAUGGUAAUCAAGGUCUUUCUGUUUCCAGGGAGAAAAUACUUAAUCGACAAUGCACGAGCACUAAAUUGAAAAGUUUCAGCAAGUUCAUGCUUGAAAUCUUUCAAUUGGGUCUGAUGAUCAAGGUCGAGAGCAUAAGCUUCCCCACCGGUGUAAAAUAAAGACCCGUCAUCUUUAUUCGCCACAAAUUCUCCUCCAGAUUGGCAUAUAGCUAUGAUUUUCUUUGUGGCCAUCGCCAGAAUGCCAAAAAGGUUUCCUUUUUAUUUAAAAAAAAAAGUUAGUUGCGAAGCCCAGAUAAUAUCAGACUCAAGAGAAGAAGAAGAAGAAGAAGAAGAAGAAGAAGAAGGAAAUCGAAUCAAAUACACAGGCGAAGCAGCAACAGUUUAUAAGAGGGCAAAUUAUAUCAAAAAAAAAUUAACCAAAGGGCAAAUCUUAACAAGCAAAAUGAAACAAAGACAUGCACAAGAUGAGAGAGGCGAGAAAAAACCAAUCCCUAAGAAUACAGCAUUUUUCAAAAGUCUAACAUAGGUCAGAGAGAGAUAAACAAUUAAUUGAAAAUUCCAAAACCCAUAAGAAGAAGAAGAGUCUUAACAAAAUCACAAAUAGUGCGAAUUAUGGGGCGAUUCUGAAAAGAGUAGAUAGAUAAUUCAGAGCAAGGGUUUACCUGUGGUGAAAUUAAGGUUGAGCAAUGUGUGUGUGUGUGCGCCAAGGCGGGGCAAAAGGGUUAACGGGGGAGAGAGAGAAAGAGAAAGGGCCUCGGAGUCUGGUCCAGUGAAGUGGUGUACGUGUAUGACUAAUCUCAACCGUUGCUUCAGAAAAACAUAAUUAAGGAGUUUGCUAUUCUAUCCAUCCAAUAUCUUAUUCUAAAAAGAAAUAAAAUUAAAACCAUAUAUAUUAAGGAGGUUACAAUUCUUUGAAUUCAAAUCAAAAGAAUUCUCAAAUUCUCUCUAGGUUUAAAUAUCUUGAUUAAUUCUUUUUUCAAAUAAAAUCGUAACAAAGCUACUGAAAAAUUAUAAUUUCGAUCCGAGUAUAAAUCAGGGUUCUAAAAAGCGUGAGUCGGAUUGGAGGUGGUCGAAAGACGCUCGGUCCCUACUCGGUGAUGGAAAGGAGACAGGCGGGCACCGUAACCGGUUGCCAUUGCAGGACCCGAUGCGCUACAUGUUUAACUUUACUUUUUAAUAUAUAAUUUGACUUCACAACCCAAAUCGUAAUUCGGUUUAGAAAACUCAGUUGCAUUUUCGAUUCUGGUUUAAUUGCCUAGAUGUUUUAUUUUUACAUUUUAAUACUUACGUAAUUUCGAUUUAUUUUGUUGUAGAAUAAGAAAUACUUAUGUAGACGUUUGAAUUAGUGGCAUAGAAACUGCUUGGACUUCAAUAUACUUUUGAUUACUCAGACGUAAAAUGUAAAGUAUGUAUAUGCGUAUUUGAGAGAUAUUGGGAAAACGAUUGAAGAGAGUGAAGUUAGAUCCGAAUAAUUCAAAGUUUGAGACAAAGAAUCCAUUGUCCAUAAUGAAUUGUGAGAAAAUUUGUAUUGCGAUUAUAUGUUAGAGCAUCUCCAAUGUUAAACUCAAUCUUUAACAUUUAGAGUGCUGGGAAAUUGAGAUUUUUGUUAAAAAUCAUAUCCAAUGCAAAUCUUAAGAAAAAACUCCAAAUGAUGUGGCAAUGAUGUGACACUUGUGAUUUUAGAGAUUCUUAAGAGCAUCUCCAAUGUUAAACUCAAAAAAAACUCUAAAAAUCCUAUGUGUCAAGUACCAAAUGUGAAUCUUAAAAUCUUCUCUAUCCUAUUUGGCAAGAUUGAGACUCUCUACUGCAAAGUCUUCUCAAAUGCAACACUCAAAACUCAAAAUAUUUUCUUAGGUGUAAUUUGUUAUUGGGUUUUAAAAUUAAAACUAAAACUAUUAAUAUUUUAAAAAAAAAACUUAUCCUACAAAAAGAUAAAAACUUUACAUUACUGCUUUAAUACUAGUGGGAUUUAUUCAGAUUUGUUUUAAAAGGGAGAAAAUGAAGUAGCUAGAGUUUUUUAUGAACAUUCAUUAGUUAAAUAUUUUAAUCGACAAAUUUUAAAUCAAUAUUUUUCCUGUUCAUCAAAUUCUGAACAUAUAUUCUAUACAAACUAGCAAUUUCUAUAGAUCACGCGUAUGGUUCAUUUGUAAUAGGUCAGAUGAAUCACAUGAAUUCAAUUCAUUAAAUUUUGAAUAAAAUUAUUGUUAAAAAGAAUUAAGUAAAUAAUUAGGGUUUUUUUUACCUAAAAGUUGAAUUUUCAGAGAAACAUAUAAUUUAAAUAAAAUAGUGUAGAAGGUGGAAUAAGAUUAGAACUAUGGUGAAAUAUAUUUAUGGUUAAUCUAAAAAAUAUAUAUAUACAUAUAUACAUAUAUAUAUCAAAUAUAUAUAUACAUAUCAAAAAUACAGAUAUAUAUAUAGAUAUAUAUUUACGGUUUGAAGAUAUUUUAAUUUUCUUAAUUUUUUAAUGGAAAGUAAAAGAAAAAUUGUAUUAAAUGAUGAGUUGGCACUUUAGAGAUCCUCAAGAUGACACUCCAAUCUCAGAGUGUCAUCUAAAGAAUCAUUAAAAUUAUAGGUGCCACGUCAUUUGGAGAUUUUUAUUAAGAUUUGCAUUGGAGAUGAUUUUUCAAUAAAAAUCUCAAAAGAUCCUAUGUGGCACUCUAAGUAUUAGAGAUUGAGCUUAGCAUUGGAGAUGCUCUAAGAUGACAGUAUGACUCUCUGCAAUUGGAGUAUCAUCUUGAGGAUCUCUAAAGUGUCGACUCAUCAUUUAAUUCAAUUUUUCUUUUACUUUCUAUUAAAGAAAGUAAGAAAAUCAAAUUAUCUUCAAACUGUAAAUGGAAUUCACCAUAGCUACUUCUUUUUCUCCCUUCUGAAAUAAAUUUGAAUAUAUUGUACUAGCAUUAAAGCGAGAAUGAAAAGUUCUUCUCUUUUUGGCGGGAUAAGUUUUUUUUUUAAUAUAUUAAUUAUUUUAAGGGCAAAUUACCAAAACCCCCCUGAGGUAAGGCUGAAUAACGAAAAUCCCCCCAUGUUUGCGUAAUUACGAAAACCCCCUGAUGUAUGUUGCCGUCUUACAAAUUCCCCCUACGUGUUACUUCUGACGGAAUCUUUUUGAUUCCAUGGAAUAUUCCUUUGAAAAUGCCAUUCUUGCCCUUGAGGGGUAAUUGUAAGUAUAUUAAAAAGUAUAAUGUAUUUCUUCAUUUUAUAAUUAUUAAAAAGAUAAAAUAUAUAUAAAAUAAUUAAAGAUAUCUCGUAACAUUAAAAGUUUUUAUUUAUUUUUAUUUUUUUAUAUAUUUUUUUAUUCAAUAAAAUCGAGGUUACGUAUUUUUGAAAUAUUCUCUUAUUUCUUAUUUUAUGCUACAAAUAUUUUCAAUAGUUUUUUAAUAUUAUGGUAAUUGUCAAUAUAUUAUUAUAUUUUUUAGUCAAAAAAGUAACACCGUAGGGGGGCUGUGUAAUACUUAAAAAAACGUAUUUACUUUAAUUUAAACCUAUAAUGUAUUUCUUCAUUUUAUAAUUAUUAAAAAUAUACAAAAAAAAAUAUGUAAAAUAAUUAAACAUAUAUUGUAACAUAAAAGGUUUUUUUUACUUGUUUUCUAUUUUUUAUAUAUUUUUAUAUUUUUUUUAAUAUUUGUUUAAUUGUAUUUCAAUUUUAAACAAACAAAAUUUAAAAAGUAUAUAUUAAUAUAAAUAAAUCAUAAUAUUCCCUUGAUUGUUUUUCAAAUAACAAAAGGGUACAACGGACAAACAUUUUCUGUCAAUUUAAACGGUCUAGCACUGGUCAUAGGGGGAUUUUCGUAAUCAUGCAAACAUGAGGGGGAUUUUCGUAAUUAGGCCUUACCUCAGGGGGGUUUUCGUAAUUUGCCCUUUUUCUUUUAUUUUUUUACAUAUUUAACAGAAGGGUAUAAUAGACUUCUGUUAAAAAAAAUCGGUCAACUGUUAGUCAAGGGGGUUUUUCGUAAUUACGAGAACAUGGGGGGGGAUUUUCGUUAUUCAGCCUUACCUCAGGGGGUUUUUGGUAAUUUGCCCUUAUUUUAAUUUUAAUUUUUAAAAUCCAAUGAAAAUUACACCUAAGAAAAUAUUUUGAGUCUUGAAUGUUGCAUUGGAGAGAGGAGACGUUGCAAUAGAGAAUCUCAAUCUUGCAAAUAGGAUAGAGAAAAUUUUGAGAUUCACGUUUAGUACUUAACAAAUAGGAUUUUUAGAGUAUUUUUUAAGUUUAGCAAAAAUAUACACAAGUUAUUUACUAAUCAUGAUCAAAUACAGUAUAUUAAUUCCAUUAAAAAACUAAAUUAGUACGGACUCAAUAGUAGAUGAGUUGUAUUCAGUGAAUGAUCGUAUAUGACAACUUAAAGUGACUGCAAUUUUUUUUUUUUUUUUUUCUAUUUUUUAUCGGAUGCUUAGCCCCUUACCUAAAUAUCUCACGGUUCACCCAUGACAACACAUGAUAGGGUAUAUAUGUACACCUAACCGUGUCAUGGAAUAACACUGUCCGCACGUGCCGAGCAACGUUAGGGUUAUUUGGCACCUACAACAAAACUCAUAUAAUAAAAAUUAUACAUAUAAAAAUAUUACAAAAAAUACAAUUAAUCUAAAAAAUAUAAGUGCACUUCAUCGUUCCAGUAAAUAUAAAAGCUACUUUGACUAAAAAUAAGUUAUAUUACCAACAAUACAAAAACGGUUUAGAAAGAAGUGAACCAAUUGAAUUCAUCACAACUUUCAAAAAGCGGUUUUUGUGUUUUUGUGUCAUGUCUCGAAAAAUCGGACUUCAAUCAUGAACUCUCUUUGUUUGGGGGAAUACCAAGCUACAGCUUUUGCAGAACCAAGAACUUGUAAUGCAUAUUCAGCAGCAAAAACAGGAUCAUUAAUCACAUUGUUAUACCACCACUUUUUCUCCUUGCCCUUCUUCGUCAGAUCAACACUCACUCCACAAUCAAUUCUAAAGCUGAAAGGUCCACAUAUCUGCAUUUUUACCCAAAAAAAUCAAAAUGUCAGAGGUAAGUGAUUAUCUCGAAUUUAGAAACUUGAAAGAUAACAGAGUGUUGAAGACGCAGAAUUGCAAUUAGUAUAAAAGGUCCAACAUCCCUCUCUACUUAUCUCCUUUGUUGAAGAAAUCACAGGAAUCCUGUCUGCUCUUUUACCGAGAGCAAAUAACAUGCAUAAGCAUAUUGUAUUCCUAACCUCCCAUAUGCUACGAUUUUCACUAUUUUUUUUUCUUUUUUUUUUUUUUAUUUUAAAGAUAAGGUAGGUUUAUUUGUCCUUAUUUUAGUACUAUGGUUCAAAACACAGAGCUGAAUUGAUAUCUAGCAGUGACUAAAGUUAAAUAAAGAAUACCUGCUGCUGAAAUGAAAGGCUGGCAGAAGGAAAAAUAGCCUGGAGUGCUUCAACACUUGGUGCUUGACGAGAAUUGUAGAGGUCGACAGCUAAUCGAGAGGCACCACCUACAAAUUUUGACACGGAAGGAACAUCUAUCCGUGCAUUAAAACGGGUAAGGUCCAAAAAGAGCUUCUGGAAAUUUCCAUGCUGAGCGGAGACGGAUGCAGAUGCAAAAAGAUCAGCUGAAAUGGCAGAAUUUGCUCCUUUGGCUCCAAAUCCAAACCAUCCAUCUUCUGCCUGGGCUCUAACGGAAUUAUCUCCAAGAGAUGCAGUUAUUACAGUACCUAAAGUACAAAAUAAAUACAAAAUUGAUCUUAGAAAGAUCAAUGUACUAAGCAUGAUAAAGUAGAUGUCAAACAAAAUAUGCAAUUCAGUGAUUGGAUUGGUUCUAGAUAAGCACCCAAAGUGCAUAAGCAUGGAUUCCUCAUAUCCUAAAUGUCGUAGCAAAGCAUAGACAUGUGCAUAUAAAAAAUCCAUGCCUUGGUAUUAGCUAGCUAACAUGGAAUGGAAAAGCAAACAAAUAAUCCCAAAGUAGAUAACUUGAUUUCAGUGUUCUCCUUCAACCAAAAAGCAUUCAGAACUACAUGUAUGUGUAAGGAGUGAUUUACCUAUGAUUGCGGAUGCUGAAAUAUGAGGAUUGGAGAGAAAUAUAUCAUAGGGUUGCGCCAAUUUCGUCUUUGGUGCUUCGCUCCUCCAAAUGUUCAAGUUCUUUUUCAAGGAAACGGCACAUUUGGCACACAAACCAGGAAGCAAACUAGGAGGUACAUGUACAGGUACAGGUACAGGGCUCGUAUCAUAUAUUUUGGGGGAACCUGAAGUAUGGUUGAUGCAGAAAUGACAGCUCAUCCCAGAAUCAGAAGAAGGUAGUGAUGCAAAAUCCAUCCCCAACGUCAACGGAACAUCCCAGUAAUUCCCUAGACGGUCGACAAAUAGUGUCGGCGAAGCUGCCUCAAUAGUGAGAUUGUGAUUGGGGAACUGCAACAACAACAAAUAUAUAUAUAUAUAUAUAUAUAUAUAUAUAUAUAUAUAUAUAUAUAUAUAUAUAUAUAUAAUAAAUAAUAAUAAGAGAUGAAAUGGACAAAUCAAAACAAAUUUAUGCAAGAACAGGUCUUGCCUUGUGAUGAAGUACUGCCUUCUUCCUAGGAAUGUUGUUGUGAUCGCCGCCGUGUUUUUCGAGGCUGAGUAGCAAUGCAUCUUCAGGUGUUAACAACCAUUCCGAGCAGAAAUUGAGAGCAUAAAAGCUUGGGUUCAAAAGAUGCGUCCAAACAGUCUGAAAAAAAGAAGCAUCGGAGUCCUCUUGUUGUUGCCUUUGCGUUUGCCUUGUGGGGAGAGAAGAUGUGAACUUGAGGACAUCGAACCGUCCAAGCAAUGUUGAAAACCUGCAUCUCUUUUCAGAAAUUAUUCUUCGUCAAUUAAUUUUCAUUUCCCCAAAAUAUAUGUAAGAAAAAAGUUCAAUUGAUGAGAGGGGUUGGGGGCAUACCAGGUGUCGCGAGCAAAGGGAGGGAGAGGGAGAGAGAUUAGGCGGUGGAAAGAGAGGCCAUUGGAAUCGGAGAAAGAGGGGACAAAGGGCAUGGCCAUGAAUCGCUGAAAGAAAUCAAUCUGCUUUGGACGAGAAAGCCUUGUACCACGGCUCAACCCUAAAGGAAUGGGAUCCUCCGCCGCUGGACGAGCCACUCCGUCCACUGUCACCGGCGUCGAUAGGUCAACCUCCCAGAAACCGCCGUCCAUCGCCCAUCUCAGCUUCUUCAUUAUUUCUUUCUGUCUGCUUCUGAGUUCUGUGAGUGGUACAAGGGAACAAGACUGUGCGAGUGUGUGAGUGUAAGUGUAGAAAUAAGAAUAAGUUGUUAAGCUGCCACCAAAUAAAUUAAAGGCCGCGGCGCGCUAUUCGCAAUACUUGUUUCACUAAGUGCAAGACCAAAUUUAUGCAAGACCACAGAAAAGUUCUAUAUUUUAUAAGUUCAAGACCAUGAAUGACAAAUAUGCCCAUUAGUUAAAAAAAAAAAUUUCAAUAUUUUUCAAAAAAAAAAGAAAAAGAAAAGAAAAGAAAAAGGCAUCUUAAGAAAACGACGCAGCCCCCGUCGCCCAACCAAGCCCCGUUGCCGCUCCAAGCACCGUUGCCGCCGAUCAAGCACCGCCGUCGCUCACCCUACAACCAUGAGCGACCUAAACCUGGAAAACCUUCUUGAAAAGGGUUUAAGUUUGCAAUAAAUAAAUAAGUAGCAUAAUAAGAAAAUGGGUAGAACGUGAAAUUCGAUAAUUUUGGGUCAGAUUUGAUCUUUUUUAAGAACAUUUACGAUCUACAAAACUCGACCUGCAAAUGUCGAUUUUGGGUUUGUUUUCUCGACAUUUGCAGGUCGUCUAAUGUCACUUUUUUCGACAUCAAGAAGAUGUCGAUUUAUGUGUACCUAAUCCGACAUCUAAGCGUCGAAUUUUAUGCAUUCCAAUCGACGCUAAGGUGUCGAAAUAAGCCUUUUUCCCCUUUCUUUGUAGUUAAAGUGCUAAGUCGACAUCUUAAUGCCGAGUUUGUUUUACAGAUAUCGACACCUUAAUGUCGAGUUUUGGGGGCAAAAUUCGACUUGUAAAUGUCGAAUCGCGUCUGCGCAAUUUCUUUUUGAAAAAUGAUAGUCUAGCUAAUAAAACACAUAAAUGCAUAUCUCCUUGGGUUCUUCCACCGUAGAAUCUUUCAUUUUGAUGUCUUUCGACUCCAUACUUGCCCUCUUUGCAAGGUUUGUUAAGGUUCGAGAAUGUUGAAGUUUUGUGCGUUUAUGGAAGAGGAAGGAGAAAUGUCUUUGUGGUUGUUGGAAGAUGGAGAAGAUGAGAAUUUGGUCUUGUGGUUUUGUGGUUAAAUUUUUUUGGUUUCUUAGUUUUUGAUAUUGCAUCAAUUUACUAUUUUUUUAACAAGUAAGGGUAUUAUUGUAUUUGUACAUUGAAAAUUUUAAUUUGGUCUUGCACUUAGUAGAAUCAGUAUUGCAAAUAGCCGCGGCCUAAAUUAAAUUAAUUAAAUUCGAAUUGAGUCUAAACUAUAAUAAUAAUACAUAUUUUCAGAUUGAAUGAUUUGAAUUUUAGCAAGGAUUUCAAAUAAAUAAUCUCAGAUCAUUUAGAAAAACAUAUAUAUAUAUAUAUACAUAUAUGUUUAUGGUUAUGUUAGAUGAAAAUUUACUGUGAAAAUUGCGUUAAAUCACCUAAUUAUUCACUGGAACGAAAACAAACUUGUGCUUUGGGCAUCAUACAUAAUAAACAAAUAGACUUUUCGACACUGAAUCUAAAAUAGAUAGAUAGAUAGAUACAAGAAUAUAUAUGUAUUCCACAACAACACAAAGAAAGAAACCGCAUGCAUCAUCACAUGUCAUCUCUAAAUCUCUAAUGUACAACACAUCCUUAUUGCAGCAGAGAUUCAUUGCUCUUCAUCAGCAUCUUGGUGGUUGGGGUGGUGGAACGAGUACGAGUCGUGGGCAAGAGUCUGCACCAAUUACAAAUUAAUUACUCCAAUCAUCAAUCAUAUUAUUUACUGGCAAAAAAGAUUUUAUAAUUAAGUAGAGUAGAGUAAAAUAUUUGAUCAUUACCUGUUCUUGGGCUCGGAAAUACAUGAAUGGUGUAUAGUGCAAGAAAUUAGAAACCCUUGACGUAUAUAUAUCAGCGUACCUGCAUGCAUUUAGUUUCUUUCACAAGUCAAUUAUCUUUCUUUCUUUUUAUGCACCUAGUAAGUAGUACCACUACUACAUGCAUUACUUAGUCGAAACACAUACUUCUCAAUUUGCCUCAUUAAGUGGCUUUUGUCCCACAGACCUGCUCGUGAAAGAAACCCCCACCUGAAACAAACUACAAUUUUUUAUAACAGACAACACAUGAUGCAUGUACGCACAUGUGCAAGAUACACAUGUUCACUACCUUUUGUUAAAGAGCUCCCCAUCCGAUUCCAUCAUCGGACCAAUUUUAUUGUCUAACCGUUGCAUCACUAUCAGUAGUUUCUGAAUGCUUUCAUUAAGUUCCUUGUCAUCCAUAUGAGUUGCAGCAAGAGUCUGACGAAUAAUUAUUCACAAUAAUUAAUUGAAAAGAUAAAUGUGAACAUACCUGGCAACACCUUUAGAAGAAACAUAAAUGUGAAAGAAAGAAGAUGAAUAACGAAUAUACCUGAGCUGGACGUCCUUUACUCCGUCUCUGCAGAGCAAGGCGUAGUUGGUUAAAGAGAUCUCCAACAAGCUCCUUCUGAUUUAUAAGCUCUAUCAACGUGGUACGAUGACCUCGACUAUGAACUAAAGCACUAUACUGCAACAUAUAUAUAUAUAUAUAUAUAUAUAUACACAAAUGUGUUAAUACUGCUAAUUUUUUAUUCUUGUAUUUGAUAUAUAGCAGCAUACACCAACUGAAUUCGAUAUUCGGAGAAUAUUAUUAGAGCAUACAACAAACCUCUUCUUCUAGUUCUCGGCAAAUUAGAGCUGUACGCCAUCGGAGAUGAACUUUAGAUUGGCUAACAUCCGUAUAAAUAUGAUCACCCACAUAUAGAAUUUCAUCUCCUUGAAUGCCAAGUGAUUUUUCAACCAUCUGGGCACUCCCUCCAGAGUAUACUCCCCCUGCAUUAAUACACAUAUAAUCUCUUCCGAUUAUGUGUAAUGUGGUAAAAGACCAGGACGGUGAUCUAAGGGAUUUUGAAAUGCUAGGGAUAAAUGAUACCACAGGCUACAAAAACUUGAAAAUGUUGACACCUACGUACUAUCACCUGAAUUAGCCUUAAAGCAUGGGCGCAUAAGGCCUUCACCAGUCACCACUUCAUACAUUGGGUGUGCCAUUUGAAAAAACUCUGGCUUUCUGGCAGAGACUAUUACCUAUAGAAGAAUCAGUCACCCGAAUCAUGGCCCAGGAAUAAUACACUUAAUUUCACAGAGUUGUGAUUCCAGUAAACAAGUCUUUUAUGACCGAUUUAGGUGUUCAAAACAUGUGUUAAGUGUCAAGUAACAUUUUGCAAUAGAAUGUGUCUCUAUUACCUUGAACAAAGAAAACAAAGAUAAUUAAAUAGAAGUCAGUUUGUCUUGGCAGUCAAUUUACUCACUAUGUCAAACAGAUCUCGCCAGGUCAUAUCAUUCGGAAGAAAUCUAUUGAAAGAAUGCUGCAUCAUUUUUUCAGUGUAAUGGUAGUCUGAGUUGGUAAUAAGCAAGAGCUUUUUUCCAGCCUGUCAUAGAACAGCGAAAUUUGGUCUGUCGAGAAGUAAUAUUAAGGGUAUAUGCGGACAUAAAUGUAGAAAUCCUUGAAAUAUAACCAUGUACUCAUCAAAUACUCGUCAAAAAAUGAAUUAAAAGUACCUCCUUCUGAUCCAACAGUGCCAAAGGUAGCUCCGGAUCAGGUUCUACAAAGAGUUCAGGCUUCGACAUUAUCUCACUCUGCGAGUUUGUUCGCUGGUUAGACUAUUCUUGUGCAACUGGAUAGUGCAAAUUCACAAAUAUAAAGGAUGGAUACCUUUAGCUGGCCUUCAACAUGUGCCCUGAAGAGUGCUUUUCCAACAGCCUGAAGGCAAUACGAUGAAGUUAAGGCAUUUUAAUACAUGUAAAACGUUAAAUUCCAAAUAUUUUUUUCCAACAUCAAACCUUGUAAAGCCCCUUAUAAUCAAGCGGACCAAGAUCUGUGGCUAUAGCUCCUUCAUCCAAUCUAUCUACGAGCUGAGUAUAAAGUAUACCAGUUAUAUAAAGUCAUAUUGCAAAAAGACCACAAAAUCAAGGAGGAUGGAGUACUGUCCACUGUGUUUCUAGACUAACCAUUUUAAUCAAUUGUGCAUUAUCAUCUUCAGUAGCUUCAAAUAUGGAUAAAUAUUGUUAUCUUCAUACAUAUAUUUACAUCCUCAUUGAUUUAAACCAAAGCAAUGGACCAGUCCUUCAAGUUUUAAAUGUCUCCAACAGGCAACUUGUUUACUUUUAAUAUAAACUACUUUCAAUUGAUAUUCAUUUUUUUUUUUCUCUCCAUAUAGUUAAUGGAUAUACUUUUUUACUGAGAUAGAUGAUGAAUGGAUAUAAGGAAGUAGAGUUAAUGGACUAUUCUUUCACAAACAUAAAAGAAAAGAAAGAACUAAUGGACAAAAAGUGAGCUACACUUAAGAGAAUUUCCCAGAAAUUUAUAUAUAAACGCACUAAAAUGUGGAGGUCGUCUACCUGCAUAUAAGCAACAGCCUCUGAAACGGAGAAUAGUGUAUUUAGGAACUCCCACCGGCUCUCCUUCCGUAGAUCCACAAGUUCUCUCCCAUACAUCUCACUUCAUUCAGGAAAUGUUAAUUAGUACACUAUAAUUUAAUUUCACUAGAUUACAUAAUAAACCAGGAAUUAAAAAACUUAAGCCGAAUAAAACUCAAAUUGAAGUGCAUACUCUGGAGUCAAAUAGCAAAUCAUGACUAAAUAUCAUAAUGCAACUUUUUACAAAACCUUCCUUUUUACCUGAUGGAAAUAUGUGUUGCCAUUGAUCCCUACUUUGAUCGAUUAAAAGUGAGAUUCACACGGACUAGAUAUAGGAAGAUGUGUUGCCAUUUACAAGGAAUAUUUAAUGAUAAAUAAAGGGAAGUUUGAAUAACACCUCAAUGUCUGAGUAGACAACAUUGUUGUUCCAUGCAUAGCCCGUUUGACGUAUCCAAAUCGAUCUGCUUUAACUAAGUUCCCUUUCUCUUUGUCUAUCACUAGGCCUCGAAUGACCUACAAGCACAAGGUAACAGGAUAUUCUAGAAUCAGCCAAAACAAUAUACCACUCUGACACUUGCUAUCAUAGAAUAUUGCGUACCAGUUCUGGGUCAAAUGAAAGUCCAUCAACAGGAAAGCCCAUAUUUUUCAAAUUGUCCAUGCAAUAGUCAUAAGCCCAAAAUAACAAAACCAGUGUCCCAUCUUUCGAAUUUACUACUGAAAUAUGAAAUCGUGGAUUGAAUCCACAAAAUGAUGAAAAUUUUAUUCAGUAGCUUAAAAGUCCUGAAGUAGACUUAGAUUAAUUACCCUUAUACAUAUUUUAAGCUAGAUGGAUGAUAUUUGAUACAAUAAUAACUUCUGACCGAAGUAUGCAAGUGAAGUUCAGGCACAAUGAUUAAGAUGAUAAGUGAGAGCAUAAAUGACAUGUAUGCUGUAAACAUCCAUUUUCACCAUCAUGCCCUUCUUUAUCAUACUCACACAAUUAUUAUGUAAGAAAUGUAGAAUGCAAACAAGGAAAUAACUUCAAAGACAGCACAACUAUUUUUGCUGGCUGUGAAAAAAAAAGUAGUUUUCUAAUUACCGCCACAUUAUAAUGCAUCAAUGUGUAGUCCAUGUCAUAGCCAAUAGCACUAAUUGACCGCAAAUUAAGGGUUCGAGUACAGAAAAUUCCACGAGGAGAGUAUCUUGAAGAAAAUGGGUCCUGUAUAAUUUGAGUGGAACAUAUAAAGUCAGCAGAUUCAAGGGGAAUUAUAAGAAAGAAAUAACACUCAGGUAUGGGACAAGAUAGCAUAUCAUUAUCAAGAAUGAACAUAUGUAUAUAAUAAUGACUGACCGGAAUGCCCAAGUGAUUAAGCAAGUGUUCGGCUUCUUGAGCUUCCAUUCUGGCCACAUCCUCAAUAGGACCGCCGUCCAGGCGUCUCUCCGUUUCUCCGUCAUCGAUUCCUACAAAUAAUAAUAAUUAAAUAAUUAAUUAAUUGAUAAAUUACCCAAGUUAAGGUUGAGGUCCCCUUUGGUGCUCUGCCCGAGGUAAUCAAAAUCGGCCUUGCUGGGAGAAGAAGCCGGAGUUCCCGUCCGUUGCGGCGGUGCACCGGCAGUUCAGUUUUUUAGUAGUAGUGGACGGCGGUGAUUGAAAGUAAGAAAGGCCGAGUGAGGAUGGUCGGAGUAGCGUAAUGUUCGUCCUCCACCGUUGCGAAGUAACAUUCUGAUAAUAGGUAGCAGAGGCAGUCGCCGCCGUCAUGGCAUUGGUGGCCAUUCACAGUUGCAACUAGGGGACAACUAUUUUGAAUACUAAUUUUUGCUUAGUUGAAUACCAAAAAAAUAAAAAAUAAAUAAUUAAUUGUAAAUUACUUUAAUACCCUUAAUGAAAAUUAAAACCAAAAAAUAUUACAAAUACUAUUUUUCUUUCUUAAAAACCAAAUAAUCAAAAACCUAAAAAAAACAUUUCCCUCCUCACUCACAAACCCCUCACCUCCUCCACCUCCUUCUUCUCCCUCCCCAAAAACCCUCCUAAAAAACCCCAAAACAAAAGAAAUCAAAACCUUACACAACUUGCAAAAUGGCCUCAAAUGACAAUAGAAUAGUAGUUUACGAGCAAGGAGAACCCAUUCAAGUAUGUAUUCAUGUAUUUUUUGAGCUAAAACAUCGAUUUUGAAUUUUUUUUUUUUUAAAACUCGCCAUGUAUUUUCGACACAUACAGGUCGAAAAUACCCUUAUUUUUCGACGUGUAUGUGUCGAAAAUACCCUUAAGUGUCGAAAAAAAAAAAAAAAAAAAAUUCACAGUUCAAAUUCGACAGCUAGCUGUCGAAUUUGAACUGAUACAACAAUUUCACCAUUUUCGACAUCUACAUGUCGAUUUUGGAUGAAUUUUCGACAUCAACCUGUCGAAAAUUCAUCGAAAAUCGACAUAUACAGGUCGAAAAUGGUGAACGAAGAACCGACCCACGAAUCUCAAAUCAAUGCUCAAAUCGAUUGAAAUCAGAUGCACCCAUUACUAAUUAACGAUCAUUCUAACCUAAAACAACCAAAUCCUAAUUACCCAUAUCAAACAAUCAAAUCUUAAAUAAAUAUUAAAGAAAAAAAAAUCGAAACAACUAUAACUUACUAUUCGAAGACGACGACGGCGGCGGCUUUGGGCGACGUUGGGCGGCGUUGGGCGGCGUUCGGCGGUGUUUGGCGUCGGCGUCCGGCGGCGGCGAUGGUUGGAGCGGCGGCGGCGGCGUCGGGCGGCGUGGACGGAGGGAGGUGGACGGAGGGAGGUUUUUUGUGUUUGAAUUUUUUUUUUCUUUUUUUUAUUUGGUUUUCAAGUAGGUAAUUUCAAAGAAAAAUUGAUGUAAUUAGUAUUUUGUAUGAAAGGGUAUUUUUGUACUUUUAUUUUUAUUUUGGUAUUAAAGUAAGAAAAAACUUAUAAAUAUGUACUCAAUUGUGGUUUUCAACUAGGUAGUAUUCAACUAAGCAAAAAUUAGUAUUCAAAAUAGUUGCCCCUUGCAACUAUUAUGCAAUUAGCAAAAUUGUAUUUCAAAUUCAAUUUUCGAGUUUCAACAAAUAGGUUUUUAUAUAAUACGAUAAAAAAAAAUUAUUUUAAUCGAAUAAUUAGUUUUUCAUUUUAUUUGUAAUUAACAACAGAAAUAAUAAUAUGUAUAUACUUUAUAAUUUCCUGAAAAACCAAAAAGAUAAUAAACAUAAUUCCAUUGUGCAGAUCCAAUUAAAUAUGAAUUUUUAUUUUUAGUUUUGAAUGAAAUAAAUAAAUAUAAAUAUCAUGAAAAAGAAAGCAAUAUCCUCUCCCAUAUCACUUCUUGUUCGGCGGAGCACCGUCGUUUCUGCUGUCGUCGUGUCUUCUCUUUUACACCACCACCAUUUUACUACGUACAAAAGAAAGCCCACAUAGGGGGCGCUCUCCGACUCUAGAAUUUUAGAGUAAUCCCAUGGCGGUCCGAGGCCUUCUCAUGCCUUUCCCCAAUACGUCGCCGUCGCAUCCGGCGGUGGUGAUGAUCCCCGCAGUCAUUUCGUGGUUCGGAAAAGUCUCCGGCCCCAGGCGGGCCCGCUUCUACUGCAGACACCACACCGCAGAAAUCGACAUGCCUGUGUCCAUGUCCGAGUACAGACGAGACAAAUUUGCCCAGAGAAUGGGGGCGGCUGGCCUUAAACAUCAUCACCGAAUUGGUCUGUAUUAACUAUUUCCACUUCCAUUUUCUUCGGACAUGAAAAACACAACUUGUCUCUUUCUUUGAGUUAUUUCAGCAGUUUAAAGUUACUUCAAAGUAUUACGGUUCAGCAAUUUUGUUAUUUUAGGUACUCUAAGAAAGUAAGAUCCAAUAUCAAAUCUUGUCUUGGUUCUUUCUUUUUUAAAGAUUGGAUUUUUGCAGAGUUCAUUUUUUCCUUUAUUGCACAAUUUUUGUAUGCAGCAAUAGCUGUUUCGGGUGGUCCUGAUAGUAUGGCGCUGUGUGUAUUGACUGCUGAUUGGAAAUCUGAUAACCUUGUUGAUUCUGCUACUGCUGUUACCACCAAAGGAAGAGGCAACCCAGUCGAUGGCCUUUUAGCCAUUGUUGUUGAUCAUGGAUUGCGUCCAGAAAGUGCAGAGGAAGCAGACCUUGUCCGCAAUCGAGUUUCAGAUAUGGGUAAGUAAUGAAUUCUAACCAUAUUUUUUUUUGCUUUUUGGAGAUGGGCACUUGUUGUUGGUUUCUCUAGAAGGAAGGAAGAUGGAUAGAUAAUGUAGGUUGUCUAUAUAUAGGAAUAAAAUGUGAAGUUGCCCGUUGCGAUUGGUUGGACGGUAGACCCGGACCUGGUCACUUGCAAGAAGCAGCUCGCAAUAAGAGGUGUUUUUCUUGUUAGCGUUUCCCUAACUAUUGGGUUUGCUUUUCCUAUAUAUAACCUCUUAUCCAUCCAGGUAUGAAACUCUACAAACCAUAUGUAUGCAUCAGCAGAUUAGCAUACUGUUGGUCGCACACCAUGCAGAUGACCAGGUUUGCAGCAUCUAUUAUAUAUAUAGAUAUCAUGUAUUCAUGUUCAGUUUUACUUUAUUCCUUGUUAUUUUGUAUUAUUGAAGUGCUCAAACAUUAUGUCUAUGCUCCUGGCCCUUAGUCUUGCUCUUGUAUGUAUGAUCCCAGUCAAUGAACGGAAUGACUGAUUUAUGUUUUUAUGAAGCCAACGAUAUGUUUCUCAAAUUUCUAUUUUGAUUCCGUAAAUGUGAAAUAUUUUAAUUGAAACGGGCAGAGUUUGAAUGUCGUAGAAAAUUGUAUUUUGACCUCUAAGUUCUAUAAGCAUAGAAGAAGAGAAAUUAUGAUGACUAACGCACAGGCACAAUGCAGGCGGAGCUGUUCAUUCUCAGAUUAUCUAGAAAUAGUGGUGUUCUUGGUCUUGCUGGCAUGUCAUUUGCUUCACAAAUGUUUUCGCAAUUCCCUGAUUUUUGUGGACAAGAAUCAAAACCUCGAGGCAUUUUAAUAGUGAGACCACUUCUAGACUUCUCAAAAGAAGAUAUGUAUGAUGUAAGUCUUUAUUAGCUGUUAGUUAUGCUAGAUGCUUCUAGCUAUUUUUAUUCAUUUUUUCAAUUGUUUAUUAGUUGCUUUUUGAAGUAGUUACAUAAUUAUUUUUGUUGGUUUUGCAGAUAUGUCGAAGUGGUAAUCAACAAUGGGUUGAAGAUCCGACAAAUAGGAGUCCCGUGUAUGCUCGCAAUAGGAUCAGAAUGUCAUUAAGUAACUUGUCAUCAUGUAAGACAUUAUACCCAUGCUGGUCUUUGAUUAUAAUGGAAAAUGAAUGACAUAUGAUUAGGUAUUGACCACUUAGGAUUUUGUAGGUUACUGCCACUGGAUUGUUUACAUACUUAAACAUACAUAUAAUCAAUGUAUGAGAAGUUUCAUUAGGCUGGCGUUUUCAAUAAUUUGGUGCUAAAUUAGAAAUUAAGUCUGAAGUCUGAUCAUGUAAAGUGCUACAGCUACCAUUUCCGAUAACUGAUUUCAGCUUGGCUGGAUGUGUUAUUUAUUUAUUUUUAUUUGAAGUGUGGAGUGCUGUUAUUAAAUAUUGUCUUCUCUAUUUGAAAAUGGUAAUGAUUAUUUUUAAUAUGCACAGCUAUAUUCAAGAUUGAGUUGCAAGCAACUAUAUCGGCAUGUCGAAGAACCCGAUUGCUUGUUGACAAAUUCUGUAAUCUGUUGCUGAAGCAGGCUGUGACCAUCAUGCAUGUAUGCUCUUUUAUUGACAUGCUUUUGUUUUGUGAUAACAUGCUGUUUUAUUUUGAUUGUCCUCCUAACAUCAAUGCAGCAUGGCUAUGCAGUGAUUGAUCUAGAAACUCUCCGUUCAAUGGAAGUCAAGGAUAUUUACCUCGCAAAGUUUGUUACUUCAGUAGUGCAGGUAUUGCCAAUUAGCAUGAUGCACAUUUCAUACAAGAAUCUCAUUUCAAUUAGUCUAUUUGUUUUGGGUGCAUCAGUUCAUCUCACAAAGACACAGACCAGUUAGAGGGAAGGCGGUGAAAUUGCUACAAAGCUACAUUCGUACUUUCCCAUCCAAGGUUAAUAAUAAUAAUAAUGUAGUUCUCUGCUGCUGCAACACUUUCUUUAAAACGAUUCACCUCUGCUUUAAAACGAUUAACUAAUGAGUUGUUCAUUGGAAUGUUUACAGACUAGUCUGACUGUAGGUGGCUGUUAUCUAUGUCCAGCUCCUGGAUCCAAAGGAACUAAGGUCCUUGUAUGCUGCUCUAUCAAUUUGUCUUUCCCUGUGACUAUGAAGUUGUUUCAUCCGUUUUCUUGCUUUCCGACAAGCGAUUUAGAGCAGAUUGUAAAAGAAAGUGAAGCGUAUUUGGAUAGAUUUACGCCUGAUGCUUAUUCCAGUGCUCCAUUUUCAGACAUGGCAUCAUCCUCUGAGUCUGUGCUAAUCGAAGCCAAACAGCUGGGCAUUCUUAGUCAUUCCACGUAUGAGAGUAUUGUUUCCUUGCAGCAGGAAGAAAGUGAUAAUUUUAAGUCAAAAGCUGAAGCUGUCUCUAAGUUUGCGUCGAAAGAUGAAAUACAAUCUUCAAAUGAUGCAGCAACAGAUUUGAACAAUUUUAUUAUGCCUGGCCAAGUAGGUUACUUCAUGGAUAGAUUUGUAGUAGAUUGGAAGAUGUAUGAUGGAGAAGGAGAUUGUUUUUGCAGCAGUGGUGAUGAGAGGGGGGCAGAGGUGCGCCACAUGGUGGAUGCUGAUUGGUUGUAUCUUUCGGAAUUGUCGAAGAAGAAGAACAAGGCAAAUGUGGGACCACCAGAAGAAAAUAAUCAUGAGACAAUAAAGGAUGAUAAAUGCAGCAGCAGCCAUUAUAGUAUAUUGUCGGCAAGUAGAGCUAUUGAAUGCAUAAAGUCUAUUCCAGUUGCUGCCAGAAGAAGUAUGCCUGUCCUGGUUAACGCUCAAGGACUUGUAUUGAGCAUUCCGGUAUGUACCGAAACAAUUUCUGUUUUACCAAUUAUGUUACAAAACCGAAAAAGGGUUUUUGUUACGGUGUUUGUGUUAUAUACUUGUCUCAGUUUAUUCUUAUAUACAUGUUCUUAUUCUGUGUAUAUAUCUAAAAUAGUAAACUCUUUUGUGUUUGUUGGUUUCAGAGCAUCGGUUUUGCACAAUGCCCUCAUUUGAUGAAGGUGUCUGUUGUGUUCAGUCCUAGGAUACCUCUAGGUGGAGGUCAUACCUCAUUUUUGUAGUUUCGAACAAAUGUGGAAGAGAUGGAAACACAAGGGUACGUGCGGUUGAGAUUUUAGAGUUAGUAGAGAUUUUUACAUUUAUGCUGUACUGUACUAUCAGAUAGUAUAUGAAAUGGAUAGUACUUAUUUGAUGGAGAAAAAACAAUUAAUGCAGAUUUAUCAACAUAUUUGAGGUAGUUGUUCAUUUAUCAGUUCUGUUUCACAUUAAAUGUCAUUUAAGUUGGUAAAAAUAAAUUAAUUUUGCCUUAAAAUCUUAAAGUGACACUUAAUAUGGAAAAAAAGAAAAUGACCAAAGUGACACUUAAAAUGAAACAAAGGUAGUAGUAGAAUGAGAAAGAUACAUAAACAAAAAAAGAAUAAAUAAAUUGAAAAUAAUUAUAAUUGACUAAUGUUAGUUUUAGAAGAAAUCCUUUCAUGCAUAGGAAGGAAAAAGAGUUAACAAGAAAUUAAAUUAAUUGAUGCAUUGAGCCAAAGAGGAAAAUACCAGACACAAGUAGGUCAUUAAGUGCAGUACAACGAACAAGAGAGAAUGAAAUAACAUUGUUGUUUUUUUUUUUCUACUUGUAAUUGAAUGUAAGCAAUUCUUUUUAUAUCACUUUUUCAUUUAUUCUUUUCUUUUUUUGAAAUGGAGUCAAAAGAUAUUUGAUUUUAUAGUUCUAAAGUAUGAACCACCCCUUGAUUGUUGCAACAGCUAAUAAAAAGAGUUCCCCUUGGACUAGGUACGAACAGGAAGGAUGAAAGAGAGUCGGUAUGCUAACUCCUCAUUUACAUUGUCGUAACAAAAAUAUUGAUCUGAUAGUUAUACAUUAAAUAAACUUAGGCCCCGUUUGGUUGCCAAGAUUAACUAAAUAAUAGGACUUUGUUCGAUGUUUGGUAUCCCCAAUAACUUGGCGGGUCGACCCGCAAAAAUUAUAUAAUCAUGGCUUAUCUUGCCUUUUAGGUAGUUUUUUUUGUUGGUCGUAUCGAGCACCAAUAAAAUAAUUGGGUCAUCAUUAGAUUAUUUAGUUAAUCUUGGCUAAUCUUAUCUUGGCAACCAAACGGGGCCUUAAUGUAGAAAUUCAUGUUGAUCUGGAAUCAAAGAAAGAUAGUGCAAAUGACUCCUAUGUUGUGACUUGGAGGAAGGGUUUGUCUCUAGAGGAAAUCUAGGAAUAAGAAGAUUGAAUUCGAAAAAUGGACAAAUUAUUGCCUAGAAUGUAAGUGCAGUGCAGUGAACAAGAGAAAGAAAGAUAUAAUUGAAGAAGUAAGCGAGCAUAUCAAAUUCCAAAUGGCGUGGAGUUCCACAAGCGUUUCAUUCCUUUCCUGUCGAGCCACUUUGAAUCAACAAGGUUGUUAAACAUAGCUAAAACAAUUACAAAACAAACUCAAGUCCCAAAAUUAUUCCUUAUAAUCAACAAGUUGGAUCUUGUAUUUUUAGUGCAAAGAUAAAAGAUUUGGACAAGGCUCUGCUGGUCUGUUCUCAGUGUUCUGGUUCUUAUCAAAACAGAAACAUACUUGAAGUCCUAAGUACAUGAAAAAUACCUACUUUAUGGAAGAAAAAUGAAAUUACAGCCUCUAAUUUAAAAUAAAGGGAUUUGUCCUACAAUUACAUUUUUUUUUUCUCCAAUAAAUAUGCAAUCACACUCCAACAAUAUUGUUUAUUAGUUUACACAACUAGCAUAUUUUAUUAUUUUACAACAUUUUAAUUUUGAGUUAGUUUUAAAAACCAUAUUCCAAAAAUAAUUAAAAGGGCAAAUUACCAAAACCCCCCUGAGGUAAGGCUGAAUAACGAAAAUCCCUCCCAUGUUUGCGUAAUUACGAAAAUCCCCCUGAGGUAUGUUGUCGUCUAACAAAUUUCCCCUACGGUGUUACUUCUAACGGAAUCUUUUUGAUUCCAUGGAAUAUUCCUCUGAAAAUGACAUUCUUGCCCUUGAGAGAUAAAUUGUAAGCAUUUUAAUUACUUAGGGGGUAAAUUGUAAUUUUAAAACUAUAAUGUAUUUCUUCAUUUUAUAAUUAUUAAAAAGAUAAAAUAUAUAUAAAAUAAUUAAAGAAAUCUCGUACCAUUAAAAGUUUUUAUUUGUUUUGUAAUUUUUUUUAUAUAUUUUGUUUAUUCAAUAAAAUCGAGGUUACGCAUUUUUGAAAUAUUCUCGUAUUUCUUAUUUUAUGCUACAAAUAUUUUCAAUAGUUUUUUUAAUAUUAUGGUAAUUGUCAAUAUAUUAUUAUAUUUUUUUCGUCAAAAGUAACACCGUAGGGGGGUUGUGUAAUACUUAAAAAAACGUAGUUAUUUUAAUUUAAAACUAUAAUAUAUUUCUUCAUUUUAUAAUUAUUAAAAAUAUACAAAAAAAUAUAAAAAAUAAUUAAACAUAUCUUGUAACAUAAAAAGUUUUUACCUGUUUUGUAUUUUUUAUAUAUUUUUAUAUUUUUUUGAUUCAAUAAAAUUGAGUUUACAUAUUUUUGAAAUAUUCUCGUAUUUCUUAUUUUACGCUACAAAUAUUUUUAAUAAUUUUUAAUAUUUGUUUAAUUAUAUUUCAAUUUUAAACAAACGAAAUGUAAAAAGUAUAUAUUAAAUAUAAAUAAAUCAUAAUAUUCCCUUGAUUGUUUUUCAAAUAACAAAAGCUACAACGGAAAAAACACAUUUUCUAUCAAUUUAAACGGUCAAACACAGGUCAGAGGGGGAUUUUAGUAAUUAGACUUUACCUCAGGGGGGUUUUCGUAAUUCUUUUAUUUUUUUUACAUAUUUAACAGAAGGGUAUAAUAGACUUUUCACGUUUUCCGUUAAAAAAAAAUCGGUCAACUGUUAGUCAAGGGGGUUUUUCAUAAUUACGACUUACAGUAUAUCUAGCAAACGAUAUAAUUUUGGAAUUACAUAUAUCUAAAACAUACUCGAUCGGUGAUUAGUCUCCGUGGAAUACAACAUCUUGCAAGAAUUUCAGUUGCUUUUGAGGACUUAGAAAAUGAUGUAUCAAUGGCGUCAAUCCUAUCAUCGUUAUCAAUCUGCUGUACUGAUGGCAAUAGCAAUAGUGUUAUUACUACUGUUACCAGCGGCGAUGGGAGAUGAGAAUUCUAGGUCAAUUAUAUCUAGAUUCCAGGAAUACCUCAGACCGAUUUCAUCACCUCCCAAGCCAAGUCCCUCUCAUUGGACUCCCAAAUUUUGGAGUUGGUACCGGGCAAGCCACUUGUUCUCCUCAAGUGGGCCGGCAAUAACCCGUCUGAGUUCAACAAGUGGGACCACCCCCCUUUCGAUGCCCGACGAGGAAAUUGGCGGACAUGACGGCGCUGAGAAGUUCGCGUUGGGAUUGGCUUCGCCCACUCAAAAUUACAGGGUGUUCUACGGAGAGAGGUGCCCCUGGUGGCUUGUAUUGAAGGCUACACUUUACGACAACACUGCCAUGGAGAAUUUACUCAAGAGCAUCGAGACUGUUCGGAGAUUCAGGGCCUCUCAGUUUGAUCUGGUGAAAGCUGGACACAAGGCUGAAGGGGAGGUCAUUUCUGUUAACAUGGUCUUCUUGAAAGCUGGAACUCCUUCUCCUACUGUGAGUCCCAUCUCCAUCUACUGCUUUAACUGCUCUAUAAACCAUUUAUUGCUCUACCCUGUCACAGUGAUGCUUGUGCACUAUGAUUUUGUGCUACUUUUACUAUACAUAUGAUUAUUUUCAUCCACGAAUUGUCAUCUAGCAUUUCUCAUGUCCACAGAAUUUCAAAAUGCAUCUCUUGUAGCAUUUCUCAUGUUAUUCAUUCCUUGUUUUCCUUGUGCUCAUUUUGAAAUUGAAAAAUAUCAUACUACAUGUUUCUUGCUUGUAUGCCAGUUCUUUUAGUUCUCUGCAUUUGAUACAGACACAAUAUGUUUUAGUUCUUUUGGUUCUCUUUUAGGUUUGGACGUUCCAUUUAUUUGUUAUGCUAAGCUUUAUCUUCUCUCUUUAUGUGGAUAAGCAGGAUGAUAUAUUAAUAUAUUAGAACUAAAGCAACACAAUUAUGUAAACUAACAAUCAUCUGUUACCUUUUUAACUAGUUUUCAUGUGUGGCAGGGUUUUGUCAUGAAUUUGCAACCAUCAGAAGCUCAAGCAGGUUUUGAUAUCCGGGUCCCACCAACGGCAGAUGUAGUAUCCUUGGAGAGACGAAUUGCAGAGGAAUGGGCGCCUGCUACUCGUAAUAUGACCUUUGAGGUGAGAAAAUAUACGAAGCCACGUUAUAUCUUUACUGAUGUUGGAUCAGUCAAAGCACUUUUCGGAAAUAUCACUGUUGCUAUAUUUUUUCCGGCUGUAUAGGUUUCUGUUAAUUAUUUUCUUUAGGGGCCAUUCUUGAGGCAAUUAAGCAGAAAGGGCCAAAUAGUGAAACAUCAGAAUAUCAAGUAUUAUGUGUGAAGAUUGGUGUUCACCUGCUUUGACUUUAUGGUUGAGCAUCUGCUUAUUUAUGAUUUUGUAGCCAUCCAUUAGACUGGAGGAAAUAGUGCUUACUGCUUGCCUAAGUUAAUAAAAAUUUCUAUGUUUGUAUAAUAAGUUACCGUUCCUAACGUUUUUGGGAGUUGUGACAGUUCAAGCAGAAGGGAUCUACAUAUAACAAGUUUGGAAAACAAAUUCUUACAGCAUUUGACAGUUCAAAUCCUUGGUGGGCUCUUUUAGAAGAUGCAAUAAAAAGUGCCGAUGGGGAACUUGGAAAACCUGAGAUAUUUCCUGCUUCAACAGAUGCUCGCUAUUUCAGGGAACUUGGAUUACCAGCAAUUGGCUUUUCUCCUAUGGCAAACACACCAAUUCUACUUCAUGACCACAACGAGGUGAAUAUUUCCUUCUUAUCUGCUUUGUGGCUUCAUUUUGUUCGGGUUUUAUUUGCAUGAAGUUAAAGGAUCUUUUAAAUUUUUCAAUGAUUUACCUAACGAUUUAUAUGGCUCAUCAUGGCUGGUAUGCAAUUGAAAGAAUUGAAAUAAAUUAAGUAAUCGUUUGGUUGCACAGUUCCUGAACAAGAAUGAGUACUUGCGGGGGAUUCACAUGUACGAGUCAAUAAUCAAAGCUUAUGCAUCAUACGUUGAACCUACGAAAGAUGAAGCUUCCAGGGCGGAGUUGUAAGGAAGGGAAGAAGCUGGAUCAGUAAAGACAAACCAGCAAUACUUUCCCCACUGAGCACCUCUGUAUGAAUUCCAACUUUUGAGUUGAGUUUGCUUUAGGCCCUAAUCAAUUUGUAAAGCUUGUUGGCUGACAACUAUUUGGACUCGAUUAUAAUACAGUGGCCGACUAGUUUCAUUAAAUUAUUAUAACGAUUUUGAUAUUUUCACCAUAUUUUAAUAAACAUUGUUGGUUUGAAAAAAUGAAUUUUGUGAAAAAAUGUGGUUUUAGAAAUUUGUAUAAGCGAAAUAUGUGAUGAGGGGUAUUUUAGUACUUUGCUAAUAAAAAAAUGAUUUUUGGUAUUAACCUAAAAAAAAUUGUAAAAACUUUGCUAAAAUAUGGUAUUAAACUUGGUGGUACUCAAGUGAGAAAAAUAUGGUACUUGAAAUAGCCGUCCCCAUAAUUCUAUUCACACAAUUCGCUUUAAAAAACUUACUUAUAAAAUAAUUAUUUAUCUAUUGCAAAAGGGGGCAAGAAAUUCAAUUCCAAAUUUUUCUCACUUCAAUACCAACAAAACAAAAAUUAGAUAAUAAAUAGUUAAUGUCAUAAAUACCCUUAAUGAAAAUCAAUAUCACACAAACAUUAAAUCUCAAUUUUCUUUCUUUAAUACCACACAUACAAAACCUCUCUCACACCUCUCCUUCACAAACCCAUCGUCCCCCUUCUUCUUCUUCACAACAAACCCUCCAAAAAAUCUCAAAACUAAAGAAAUCAAAAUCUUAUACAACUUGCAAAAUGGAGUCAAAUGACAACAAAAAUGGUAGUUUACAUAGAAGGAGAACCCAUUAAAGUAUGUAUCCAUGUUUUUUUUGAGCUUGUAAGUCGAAUUUGAAGUUUUUUUUUUGAACUCCGUCGACAAUUUUUCGACGCAUACAGGUCGAAUUUUUGCCAAUUUUGGACACAUACAGGUCGAAUUUUUGCCAAUUUUCGACACCAACUUGUCGAAAAAUAUUAAAAAACAAAAAAAAGUGAAUUUCGACACAUACAUGUCGAAAUUUUACAAAUAUAUAUGUUAUUUGGGAUUGAAUUGUGGUUUUAAACUAAGUGGUAUUGAAAUGAGAAAAAUUUGGGAUUGAAUUUAGCCGCCCCAUUGCAAAAUUGGAUAUCUCUUAUCUAUUGACAAUAAUGAACAAGUAUACGUAUAUUAUAUUUGCAAUUAGAUGUUUAAAUCUUCUUUUAACGAUUAAAUGCGUAGUAUAUAACAUGUUUAUACAUAAGCAACCAACAAAUAGUUUAUAUAAAAAUUGUUUACUAAGUUUUGUAUAGACAAGCAAAAUCAUAAAAAAUCGUAGCUUUUCUAGCAAGAAAUCUCUUUGCUACUUUCUGGAUGGUCAAAGCAGCAGAAUUUCUCCUCCUGUGCCAAUAAAUAUGACAAGCAACUUGCUAAUAAAAUCUACUUUACUUGAGCUAAUAAAAUCUACUUUAUUCAGAAAUAAAGUUGCUUAGGGGAUUUCCCCAACAAUAUCCGAAGCCCUAGUAACAAAUGAAACAAUUUAACUUAAAGAUGAUUAGCACCUAAAACCAAAAUAAUAACCUCAGCUGCAGUUGUUAAAUGGCUCUGAUCUGGUAAUAAAACUUAUAACUAACAUAAAUACCAGUAUUUGAAGAAGAAAAGAAUAAUACAAUAAUAGAAGAGAGAAUUUGAAGAACAAAAACAUGACAGAUGUUUCUUCAAAUCUUUUACACAGAGACAAAAGCAAAGCUUCUACUAAGGAGAUUUUUUCUAGCAACAGUCUCUUUGGAAGAAGAGAGGAAAUGCUCAAACGGAAAACAAAUACAUUUGUCCGGCAAAAUAAGUAUAGAAAUCAAAAUCAGUCAAAAACUUUAUAGUCUUCUUAGGCCCAAUGGUGUCACUGUCGAGUUCAGGCUCUUCUCCCUUUUCCUUAUCUCUUUUUUUGUACUCUUCCUUAUCUCUUCUGUAUUUGUCAAUAUCAGCGCGAUAUAUUUCCAGUAUCACGUGGAGAUUUUUGGUCGUCAUAUGGUGUGGAUGGGGCCGUGCAUGCAAAACACCGAUAUCAUAAACACCAUCUUUACCACCUAAGGAUGUGAUGUAUGGAUAAACUCCACAACCAUAUAUUAGAUCCAUUGGAACUUCUGUUCCAUAAGCAGCAGCAUCUGGAAACCAUGAUAGGGGGAGAUAAUGUAUUUGACCACGAUCUUCACUAUCAUAAGCCAAGUCAGGUGUGAAAUAAACCCCACCAAUGCCUACAAAAUAGCCAUCAUCCAGAGGAAUCUUAAAAUCACGCGAUACUUCCCAUUCUUUGGUACUAGCAUUAAGAUCGAGGACAAAUGCUUCAUUCUCCAUCUGAAUCCGAAAACGCGAGUCGGUCUCAAAUCCAUAAGACCUAAACAAGACCUAAAUAAGACCUCAAGAAGACCUAAACAAGACCUAAAUAAGACCUAAACAAGACCUAAACAAGUCCUAAAUAAAAGAUAAAGAAGACCUAAAAAAGACCUAAACGAAGAACUAAACUAAGACCUAAAGUAAGACCUAAAGUAAGACCUAACCGAAGACCUAAACGAAGACCUAAACUAGACCUAAACAAGACCUAAACUAAGACCUUAAGUAACACCUAAACUAAGACCUAAACGAAGACCUAAACGAAGACCUAAACAAGACCUAAACAAGACGCAAACUAAGACCUAAACAAGACCUAAACGAAGACCUAAACAAGACCUAAACAAGACCCAAACUAAGACCUAAACAAGACCUAAACGAAGACCUAAACUAAGACCUAAACUAAGACCUAAACAAGACCUAAACGAAGACCUAAACUAGACCUAAACAAGACCUAAAGUAAGACCUUAGGGUUUACGUAUAUUGGCUUCAGUUCGAGUUUAUUGAAGCUUGUGUUCAAUUUAGGGUUUAUGUUGGAAAAAAUUGGGUCUUUAAUUAGUGUGAGUUUUUGCCAGUUUGAAGCUUGUAGGUGUUUAUUGAACUGAUAGGUUAUAUUAUAUACGACUUUCUGUAAUUAAUCCAUGAACGUUUCUACUACAGCAGUGGUGGAGUUUUAUCUGUGUGUCCGUCUUUCGGUACUGUUUAGAAAUGGCAAUAUUUGGUAUAUUUGAAAUAACAAGCAGAUCACCAACUAUUUCAUAUCUAGAAAUGCUAUUGUCUAUUUUGGUUGUUUUCUAAUUUCUAUAACUUAUAUAUUCGCAUGCAUCAGACCACUCGGGGGCAGACAUGAUGGAUGAAUUUGGCCGAUUAUUCUAUCUGCCUUCGGUCGGUCAGGUAAAUACUAGGCCGUUUGAGGGUUCUAAUAAAGCAAGAGAAGGAACCACUAUGUCUUGGGAAGACAAGGCUAGUAAGCUUCAACUAACACAGAGGUUCAAGGGUUGUAAUGAAGCAAGAGAGGAAGCCAGUACUAUGCCUGUGAGGUCGAAAGAGACGGCUGUGAGGUUGAAAGAGAAGGCUAUUGAGAUUCAUUUAACUAAGAGGUUUACGGAUAGGGUGUUUUUCUGGCCUGAGUGGCUUAUUAUGAUGCUAUUGGAGCUUAAGAUGGCGAAGAAGGUGCGUCUCGGUGAAAUUAAAGGAGGUGAUUCGGUUAUUGUUGACCUUGAUUCUGAUGGGCAUGUGGUGGUUCUUGGAGGUAGCAGCGGUGCUCCGGCGGAACAGGCUGAGGAACCGGUUGUUGUCUAGAUGUGGGCCCCAUUGCCUUUUUCUGCUUGGUUUGAUUGUUUUUUUUUUUUUUUUUUUUUUUUUUUUUUUUUUUUUUUCUGGCGCUUUGUUGAAGUGCAAAGUUAUGAGUUUGAAAUCCGUUAAGUCCAGAUAAUUUGUUAUUAGAAUUUGAAACUUUAAGCUCAAAGUAUUUUAUCCAAAUUAAAUAGUACCUCAGUGAAAGGUUCAGUUUAAAUUAUUAUCUGGUGAAAGAGUAUGUUCUUCCACUUUAUGCACAUUUAUUUAAAUCAAUUCCAUAACGAGUAUCCUUUUUUCCUGCUAAUAGGCAAUAAGCUGCUCAAUCCAACAUUCUUCCCACAAAUCGGGCAAACCUUCAUAACCGGAACCAGUCUUCUUUAAUUUGUUGCCAUUCCAUCGAUACUUUCCCGUGCAGCUUUUGAUCCAAGUCCAAUAGGAUCCUCGAGAAACCAUCGUCUGGCUGGGCCCUAUGAUGAGCUUGUUUCAGGGCAUUCCACGCUUGCAACAGAGUGUAGUAUGUGCAUGAUAACAGAAAAAAAUAUCUUCACCAAUGUGUGCAUGAGGAGAUAAAUGUUAUACCUAAUGAUGGAGAAAGGAUAUGAUUUGCCGGUCAAUUUUUAGUUCUAGGUGCAUUAUUAGGGCCGUAUAUCAGACGGAUCAGAGCAUAGAAAAAUUUCAAUUAUCUUUUUGGGAAGUAGAAAACUAAUUUCAAUUCCCAUUAAAAAAAUCAAAAAAUCGGAAUUUCAAAAACUUGUAUGAAAAUAUUUGCUCCAUAAUCGCAAAUUUUGGAAUCGGAAUUGGGAAAUUCCAAUUCCUUAGUCGCCUAGAAUACAAAAUACAUAAUAAUAUUGAUAUUAAGAAUUACGAGUAUAAUUUUCGAAAAAAAAAAAUGGAAAUUAAAAUCCGAUUAUUGGUUAUCAGAAUUCACAAUCUAAUAUGUGUUCCAAUUAAUUUAAAAAAAAAAUAAGUAAAAGAAAAAUAAAAUCAGAAAUCGGAACUUUAGGAAUUCAGAAUGAAAAUGGGACUGAUUAGACCGAAAGUAACACUUUUCCCAAGAAAAAGAAAAACUAAUUUUCUCUUCCAAAAAUGAAAGUCUAAUUCCAAUUCAUGUUCCAAACAAAUUCAAGAAAAAAAAAAAUUGAAAAUUAAAAUUUUGGAAAUUGAAAUAAAACUGGUGUUCCCAAAUCAGAAAUGUUUGGAUUUUUUUUUUCUUUUGGAUUGUGGAAAUAUAAUGUUCGGAUUCAAAUCAUCGUAAUUCAUAUAUUCCAUUUUUCAUCCACCUCUAAUACAAGGGGUAAAAUACAUUUCAUUCCUGAGGUUUACAUUCAAAAUCAAAUUAGUCAUGUGUUUUUAAUUACGUUCAAUGUCAUCCGACGUGUACAAUUUCAAUGCCAAAAUAAAAAAUAUUUUACAUAAUCCCCACAUUGCCCUUGAAAAUUUGGGGGACUAAAAUAAAAAUAAGUAUUUUGAUUUAUAAAAAACAAAACAUACUAAAUCCAAAUAAAAAUAUACAUGUUUGGAGUUGAAUACAAAUAUUUAUUUCUUGUAAUUACUUUUGUGCAAAGUUUUUUUAUUGUAAACAUUUAUUUAAUAAAAAAAAUUAUUUAUUAGAUACACAUGGUUCAGUAGAAUAUCAAACAUACAUAAUAAACAUUAUAAUUUUGGAGUAUAGUAUGUUUGAAGCCUAUUUAAUUAUCUUUUAUAAAAUUUGAAAAGUACUUAGAGCUCGUUUGGCUAAACUUAUUUAAAACAUCUUAUAAGCUCAUAUAUCUUAUAAGAUGUUUUAGGAGCUGAUAAGCUGUUAGAUCUUAUUUUAUACACUAAUUUUAAGUGUUUGGAUAUUGAGCUUAUAAGCUAGUAAAUUGAAAUUAAGAUCUUUUCAGAAAAGGUGGGAUGGAGGUACUUUUUUAAAAACAUCUUAUAAGUUUCCUAACAGCUUAUUUAAAAAAACAUAAGAUCUUUUUCUGAAAAAAUUACCAAACAGAUUACAUGAGCGUAUAAGAUGUUAAACAGCUUAUAAGAUGUUUUGAAGAGCUUAUAAGCUCAGCCAAACACUCUCUUAGUUUAUGCAUAAAAUCAAAAAUGAAAAAUAUAAAUUUUGUGAAUCCUGGAAUGUUGUAAUAUUUAUGCUAAAAUAAAUAUAAUAAUUAAAUACAAUAAUUGUUUGUUCAUACAAAUGAGCCUUUAAUCAUUUUCUUGUCUUUUUUGGUCAUUUAAUCCUUUUCAUUUCUUUUCUGGUGCAAAAUUUCUAAAAUAUUGUAUUUUGUUAAGUUCUUGGGGUAUUUAUGUUUAUAAAUAUGUUUUGAGAUAUAUUUAAUUUAUUAUAAUAUUUAAGCAUAAUAAGUAUUAUAAGUAUUCAUAUUAUGAAACUGUCAAAUUAAAUACGUUUCAUUUUCAUCACCAUGUUUUGAAGGGCAAUGUGGGCAUUAGUAAAACAUGUUUGAUUUUGGUGGUGAAAUUGACUGGGAUGACAUUGAAGCAAAUUAGAACUUGAAGGACUAAUUUGAUUUUGAUUGUAAACCUCAGGGAUGAAAAUGAAUUUUAUCCCUAAUACAAGAUACAUAUAUAUAUAAAUGUAAUUUGCAAAACUUUUUUUUUUUUUUGAAUUAUCUUUGGAAAAUAAUGUCGAGGUAGAAAUCGGGAUCACACACAUAUACAUACAUAUAUAAAACAUAGAAUCUUUUGGAAUUCAGAAUGAUAAACGUUGGCUCUAACAUGAAAAUUUUUGUACCAAAAGUUGCACAAUUCAAGAACUUCGUUUCAAUUUGAACCCAAAUAUAAUAUAUAAAAUCAAAUUUUCUCUUAAUUAAUUUUUCUUUGCAACCGUCGAAAACUCUUCAACAUGAUAAACUUUAAUUGUAAAAUAAGUAAUAUUUGGCCUUGCAUUCAUAUUAUAUAAUACAAAAAUAUAAAAAUAAGACUAAUAUGUCUUUCACCGUAAAAAAUGGAACCAUAAAGAUAUAAAAACUUUGAAAAAGAAAACUAACUAUAUCCAAGAUUGAAUAACUAUCGGGUUUCUAAAAGUAAAAUUUGGAAUUACAGACACGCAAAAUGGACAUAAAAUGAAUUGUGAAAGUAAUUAUUAACUUUGCAAGUUUAUUUACAAAUUUUACCAUUAAAUAGUGGUUUUUUUUAUUUCUUUUUCGUUUAAGAAAUGAUGGUGGUGAGAUCAUAUAUGUUGAGUGUAGAUUUUACACUUAAUUUAUACUUUCUUACGGGGAUUUUUAUGUAAAUUUUAUGAAUUAAGGGUUCUUAAUGAUGCUUUAUUUGUAUUUUAGGUGCAAUUUAAAGAUUCGAGAGUUUCGGAGGUGAAAAGAGCGAAAACGGGUCAAAAAUGGGCAAAAACGAAGAAAUCAUGUCGGAGGCUGAAAUUGACCUGAGACGGCUGUAUGAGAUUUAGCCUAAUUCUGGGACGGCCGUCUCAAAUGCUGGAAAUCAAACAGUAGGUUCAAAAAUUCGAGACGGCCGUGUGAGAUUUGAACUGAUUCUCACACGGCCGUGUCAAAACACGCUGAAGAGCAAAUUUGGAGUUCUAAUCACACAAGGAAACCCGGAUCUCAUACCAAGUGAAACACCUAUUUAAAGGAAAACCCUAAGCACGAAUUAGAGGAUCUUUUACACAAUCUUAGAGCGAGAAGAGCGAGCGAACGGAGAGUCGAAGACGAAGACUUGACAAAUCUUCAUCAUAGUUCCUCCAUUAAUUCUCUUUUCUUAAUCUAUGUAUUUUCAUAAUUUUAUGUCGUUUUUCGAGAACAUGAGUAGCUAAACUUUUAAUCUAGGAUUUUAUUGGAACCCUAUGUGGUGAUUCGAACCUCUUUUUUCUAAUAUUAUGCAAGUUUAAUUUCUCGAUUAUUUCUUCUAUUCAAUUUUAUUUAGUGCAUGAACUUAGCUAAUUUAUGUUACUAUGUGUUAUUGUUAGAAUUGCAUCGACAGAUCGUUUUAACAAUUAGAACUAGGAUAGAAGAGCCUUCGAGUAGUUUUCACCGGAUUAGUGUGUUAAUUGCAUGUGGUAUCGUAGACAUAUAGAUAUCGCCUUAGGUAGCCAGUUUCGAGACUUGUUGUUAAUGCUUUAUUCAUGAUUGGUUUGCAUAGACAUAUAGUGAAUCGUUUAUGAAUAAUAGAAUUAUAAUACACGCGACAGCGGGUUAUAAGUAAAUUAGUGUCUCGGGUUAAUAAUCAGAAAUUGAAUUUGCAUAAUAGAGGUUAAAUUGGGUGAAGAAUUAUCGCAUAGGGGGAAGAUAAAAUCCUAGGUCCUUUUUCAUUGAUAUUUUCCCGUGUUUAUUUGCUUUCGUGUUUAGUUUAUAAUUUAGAUUCCAUAAUCGUGACAAACUUGCGUAGGCUGGAUAAAAAUCAUAGUUGUUAGAAUUCGGUACUUAGGGUUAGAUAAUUUGAGUAUUCCCUGUGGGAUCGACAUCCGAUUCUUUCGAGUCCACUUUUACUAUUUGUUUGCGAUACGUGCACUUGCGUGUUAGGUAUUUUGCCCAACAAGUUUUUGGCGCCGUUGCCGGGGAAUACGGCUAAAUUAUAUAUUUAUUCUGAUAUUGAAUUCGAGCAAUUUUUCUUACUUCAGCCAUUUUUAUUUUUGUUUAUUUUUAUUUUUGCAUUUAAUUUUAUUUUUAUUCGUCUCUAGGUACCUUCUAUGCGAAGUGGACGCAAUACGGAUUUAAUAGCUCUAGAUCCUGAAAUCGAGCGGACAUUUAGGCAAGCCAGAAGGAAUCAGCGGUUAGCUCUGAACACUCAAGCAGCAAUGGAUAACCGUAGGAGAGAUGACCAAGGACGUUUGUUGGAUGCAGACGGAAACAUCAUCAACGAGCAAGAAAAUCUCCAGCUCGUUGAUCCGCAACCUCGCCGACCUCAUCAGAGAGCCCUGCACGAGUAUACCGUUCCGACGCUUAAUGGGUUUCAUUCGAGCAUUCAGCAGCCCCCCAUUGAAGCCAACAAUUUUGAAAUCAAAGCGGGACUUCUCACGAUGCUCCAAAACAAUGGUCUUUUCAGCGGGUUAGCCAGUGAAGAUCCGCAUCUACACUUGGUCAAUUUUCUAGAGACGUGUGAUUCGCAUAAGAUGAAUGGAGUUUCACCUGAAGCACUGCAGCUCCGCCUAUUCAAGCACUCUUUGCAAGGAACAGCACGAGAAUGGUUACAAACUCGUGCACCGAACUCCAUAUCAUCUUGGGCCCAGCUAGCACAGUUGUUCAUGAACACAUACAACUCUCCAGCCAAGACUGAAAAAAUCCGGAGAGAGAUCUAAAAUUUUCUGCAAGAAGCCGACGAAGCACUCUUCGAAACUUGGGAGCGGUUUAAACAACUUAUCCGGAGAUGCCCCAAUCACGGACUUCAAGAGUGGCGCCAGCUUCAAAUAUUCUACGAUGGAUUGAUGGAUAAUUCGAGAACUGUGCUCGACUCAGCAGCUGGUGGAAUGUUCAUGAGUCUGACCUAUGACGAAGCUUAUGAGCUUUUGGAGCGGAUUGCAAGAAACAAAUACAUGAGAGCUUCAGACAGGUCAAGCAGCGGAACCAAAAAGACGGGAGGCAUUCUUGAAGUAGACGGGAUUACUGCAAUCACUGCACAACUAGAGAGGUUGACAAAGCAAGUUGCUGCUUUGCAGCCACAACAGGCCAACGCAGUCCAAAGCCCCGAACAAAGCCUAGACGAAACGGAGUCUCUAAAUUACGUGAACAACACAAAUCGUCAACAGAGGAACCCGUAUUCCAAUACAUACAAUCCGGGAUGGAGGGAUCACCCAAAUUUCAGAUGGGGAGGAAAUCAACAAAAUCAAGGUCAAGCACCACAGCAAGUUCAACCUCAGGCACGACCCCAACCAGCUCCCGGAUUCCAAAAUCCACCUCAAGCACCGGCUCAAGGACCCGACCUCGCGGCAAUCCUAGCCCAAUUCAUGACUUCAACUGAAGCUUCCUUCAGAAACAUCGAAACACGAAUGGGCCAGUUUGCAAACCAGCUAAGCGGCAGGCCAGCAGGAUCACUACCUUCAGACACGGAAGAUCCACGGAAAAACACCCACGAACAGUGCCAAGCCGUAAGUCUAAGGAAUGGGAGGCAAUUGGAGGAAGUUCCAAUGAAAGGAGCAACAAGUAAGAAUGGAGAAAAGGAAGCUGAAAAAGAAGUGGUGCAAGAAGUCCAGGCAGAAACUGCAAUUUCGACAGAUGAGCCAGGUGAAAAAGGGGUCGUUGCGCCUAAGCCGACCCCACAGGUACCGUAUCCUCAGCGCUUGGUCAAGGCCAAGCUUGAUUCUUUUUAUAAGAAAUUUCUUGAUCAAUUGAAUGAAUUACAUAUUAAUAUUCCUUUUACUCAAGCUCUUGAACUAAUGCCGCAUUGGGUUAAAUUUUUGAAAGAUAUGAUUUCGAAAAAGCGAAAAUUUGGCCAGAAUGAGAUGAUAGCUUUGACCGAACAAUGCAGCGCGAUCCUCACUCGCCCGCUACCACCAAAGCUUGGCGAUCCAGGUAAGUUCACCAUUCCGGUGGCAAUAGGAGGUAAGUUCUUUGCAAAAUCUCUCAUAGACUUAGGGGCUAGCAUUAAUCUUAUGCCUUUCUCUGUUUUUCAAAGUUUGGGUUUAGGAGAUAUUAAAUUGGUGUCUGUGACUUUAAAGUUAGCGGAUAGAUCUCUUAUAUACCCAAAAGGCAUUGUAGAGGAUGUGUUAGUUAAAGUAGAUAAAUUCAUCUUUCCUGCAGAUUUUGUAGUUCUUGACAUGGAAGAAGAUAAGGAAAUUCCUUUAAUUUUAGGGAGACCUUUUUUGAGAACAGGGAGAACUAUAAUUGAUGUUUAUAAUGGUGUUUUAUCUAUGUCUUUGGGAGAUGAGACAAUUAAAUUUGAUGUUUGUCGCACAAUGAAGCACCCACAAGAAGUCGAUGAAUGUUUUGCUUUUGAUAUUGUUGAUCACUUGAAUUAUAAUUGCAUUGACUCUUUAAUGGAGGAUCCCUUGGAAGCAUCUUUGGUUGCAGGUACAGAAGUUGAGAAAGAAGCAGUGGUUGAACAACUCUACUGGCUAGAUUCGGCAAAACCACUGCCGAGGCCCCGCUUUGAAAGCUUGGGCACCUAACUCCCACUCUCUAGCACUUUUAAACCUUCGGUGAUCGAACCCCCAAAACUUGAACUUAAAGUUUUACCUUCUCAUCUGAAAUAUGUUUAUCUUGGAGCUCAUGAUACCUUACCUGUAAUUAUUUCUGCUUCUUUGACAGGUUUGCAGGAAGAACGACUUUUGGAUGUCUUGAGAGAGCACAAGUUAGCCAUUGGAUGGACUAUCGCCGACAUCAAAGGCAUAAGUCCAACUUUGUGCAUGCAUAAAAUUAUUUUGGAGGAAGGGCACAAAUCAUCAGUUGAGCAGCAGAGGCGGUUAAAUCCCAUCAUGAAGGAGGUCGUCAAAAAGGAGAUCAUCAAGUGGCUCGAUGCAGGUAUUAUCUUUCCUAUAUCCGACAGCGCAUGGGUUAGUCCGGUACAAUGUGUGCCUAAGAAAGGGGGGAUGACUGUAAUUAAAAACGAAAAAAAUGAAUUAAUCCCUUCUAGGACAGUAACGGGUUGGCGUAUUUGCAUGGACUAUAGAAAAUUGAACAAAGCCACUAGGAAAGACCACUUCCCUUUGCCUUUUAUUGAUCAGAUGCUUGAUAGGUUAGCUUGUCAAGAAUUUUAUUGUUUUUUAGAUGGGUAUUCCGGUUAUAACCAAAUCGCCAUAGCCCCCGAGGACCAAGACAAAACCACUUUUACAUGUCCUUAUGGUACUUUUGCUUUUAGACGUAUGCCUUUCGGUUUAUGCAAUGCUCCGGCCACUUUUCAGCGUUGCAUGAUGGCAAUUUUUACGGACAUGGUAGAAUGUGGUCUUGAAAUUUUUAUGGAUGAUUUUUCUGUUUUCGGUGAUACAUAUGACACUUGUCUCCAAAUGCUCGCUAAGGUUCUUCGCAGGUGUGAAGAGACAAAUUUGGUGCUCAACUGGGAAAAAUGUCACUUCAUGGUGCAAGAAGGAAUCGUGCUAGGACACAAGGUGUCAAAGAAGGGUUUGGAGGUCGAUCGAGCCAAGAUCGAGACAAUCGAGAAAUUACCUCCACCAAUUUCAGUGAAGGGAAUUCGUAGUUUUUUAGGCCACGCGGGAUUCUAUAGGCGAUUCAUCAAGGACUUCUCAAAAAUAGCCAAGCCUCUUUGCAAUUUGCUCGAGAAGGAGGUUAAGUUUGAUUUCAACGAUGAAUGUCUCAAAGCUUUUGAAGAGUUAAAAAAGAGGUUAGUCACUGCCCCCAUUAUUAUUGUACCUGAUUGGAAUGAGCCGUUUGAACUUAUGUGUGAUGCUAGUGACUAUGCGGUAGGUGCGGUUUUGGGUCAUAGAAAGAACAAAAUUUUUCAUUCAAUUUACUAUGCUAGUAAAACUCUAAAUGAUGCUCAAUUGAAUUAUACAACUACUGAAAAAGAGUUGCUUGCAUGCAGUGGUUUUUGCUUUUGAAAAAAUUUAGGUCUUAUCUUAUAGGCACUAAAGUAAUUGUUUUUACCGAUCAUUCGGCUUUGAAAUAUUUAAUUGAGAAGAAAGAUGCGAAACCUAGACUAAUUAGGUGGGUCUUGUUGCUUCAAGAGUUUGAUUUAGAAAUUCGCGAUCGUAAGGGUAGUGAGAACCAAGUAGCCGAUCAUUUGUCUAGGCUAGAGAAUGAAUUGAGAGAUAAAAUUUGCAUUAAUGAAAACUUUCCGGAUGAGCAAUUACUUGUUGUGAGUGAUCAAGAAAUACCAUGGUAUGCUGAUUUUGUGAAUUAUUUAGUUAGUCGUGUCUUACCACCUGAGCUUACUUUUCACCAACGGAAAAAGUUUUUACAUGAUGUGAAUUACUACUUUUGGGAAGAGCCCUUUUUGUUUAGACAGUGCAGUGACUUGGUGAUUCGGAGAUGUGUACCGGAGAUUGAGCAAAAGGAUAUACUUUUCCACUGCCAUGGUUCGGACUAUGCGGGACAUUAUGGAGGUGAGCGAACGGCAAGAAAGGUGCUCCAGUCAGGUUUCUUUUGGCCUACUCUUUUUAAUGAUUGUCACAAAUUUGUUUUGAGUUGUGAUAGAUGCCAGCGUGUGGGCAAUAUUUCUCGGCGGCACGAACUCCCAUUAAAUACAAUGAUCGAAGUUGAGCCCUUCGAUGUAUGGGGGAUUGAUUUUAUGGGACCUUUUGUCCCGUCUUUCAAUAACCUGUACAUCUUGGUGGCCGUCGAUUACGUAUCUAAGUGGGUUGAAGCGGCCGCCUUUCCUACUAAUGAUUCUUCAGUGGUUUGUGCGUUCCUAAAAAGACAGAUUUUUACUCGAUUUGGAACACCACGAGCAAUUAUUAGUGAUGGAGGCACCCACUUUUGCAACAAGCAGUUCGAAGCACUUUUGGCCAAGUACGGAGUAAAGCACAAGGUCGCAUUGGCCUAUCACCCACAGACAAACGGGCAAGCCGAAGUCACGAAUCGGGAAAUCAAAAACAUCCUUGAAAAGGUUGUUAGCCCCACAAGGAAGGAUUGGUCGAGAAAAUUAGACGAUGCACUGUGGGCGUAUCGUACAGCUUACAAGACUCCUCUUGGAAUGACUCCGUUCCGAUUAGUCUACGGAAAGGCGUGCCAUCUACCAGUUGAGUUGGAGCAUAAUGCGUUCUGGGCCAUUAAAAAGCUUAACUUCGAUCUUGACGCAUGUAAGGAGAAACGAAUGGUUCAACUCAAUGAACUUGAUGAAUUGCGGUUGAAUGCGUACGAGAGCAAUCGAAUUUACAAGGAGAAAACCAAGAGGUGGCACGACAAUAAGAUCUUGCAUCGGGAAUUUCAAAAAGGGCAAUCGGUGCUACUUUACAACUCUCGUCUCAAAUUAUUCCCGGGUAAACUAAAGUCAAGAUGGUCAGGGCCAUUUACCGUGCUCGACGUAUUUCCUCAUGGUGCAAUCGAAUUAUUGGAUCCCACUACCGGAAAAUCGUUCAAGGUCAAUGGGCAGCGCCUCAAGCAUUAUUGGGGAGGAGAAUUGGAUCGACAAGUGACGUCCGUCACUUUUGCUUGAACAAAGAAGCAAUCGAAGUCUAGCUGAAGACUAUAAACUUAGCGCUUCUCGGGAGGCAACCCGCGAUUUUAAUGUUUUUCGUUUUCUUUUUCUAGCUUUUAUUUUUCUUUUUUUAGGAUUUUAUAAGCAUGCAAACUAAUUUAAUCAUAUACAAAUUCUCAGGUCGAAAACGCGAAAUCGGAGCCCAGACGGCCGUCCCAAAAAUCAAGGAAGGUUUGAGAUUUUCCAAAAUUCUCCAAAACCUAGUUCUUCAAAGCACGCACACAAGGUGUUCGACAGUUUGUCCGAACCAAGUUUGGGGAAAUUUUCCGCGUCGAAUCGUCUCCAAUACUCUCCUAAUAGUUUUCAAAGCAAUCUCACAAUCAUGUCUUCCACCAAGAGAUUGAGGGAAGCCGAACCUUCCGGGCAAAACAAGAAGAAGGGCAAGAACACCGCCGAGGUUCCGAGGCCCGAUGACGAUGCAUUUUGCGUGGAAGGGUCGGACGAGCUCUUUCAAAAACAAAGCUCCAAGAAAAUGGUCACCGAGCGAGCAUACUCCAUCACAUUGGCACAAUUCGAACCGUUGAAGCAAGAGUUUAUGAGACGAGGGUGGCAAUCCUUGUUAGAGCCGGAGGGAUCCUACAAUCUCUCACUUGUUCGAGAAUUUUAUGCCAACCACCGAGUCCACCAAACUAAAGAUCGCACGACAAGCACGGUCCGAGGGAAGAAAGUCGAUUGGGGAGUCAAAGCCAUCAACUCUUUCUACAAACUCAAAGGUGAUGCUCGCAAAUGGGAGGAAAUGCGAGACGAAGUAACACAAGCUCAAAUCGGUGAAGUUUUAUGUGACGGCCCACCCAUUUGGACCGAAGGUGCUACCGACACUGACUUCGAGAUAGAUUGGAAGUGCAUUCACCAAAUCGGCAAGGCGUGUCUCACCUUUGUAUGCGCCAACUUUAUCCCGACCCGAGCCUUGAGUCACAUCAAUCAAGAAAGGUGUGCCCUCGCCUACUACAUUCUUAAGGGGACUCCCGUCAAUGUCGGCGACAUCAUUAGCGAUCAAUUUUGGACAUCCAUGACCGACAACUCCAAGGGUUUCUACUUCCCUUCCCUUGUGACCGGAUUAUGCAAGAAGGCUAAGGUUCCGGUUAAACCGACGGAUAUCGACCAAAGCAUCCGAGAUCCCAUUAGUGACCGAGCGGCCCGCCAAUUCAAGGCGCCCAUUUACGGCCCACCACUCCAAGUUCCGGAUGCCGCUCCGCAAGAAGGUCCAAGCACAAGUUCGGAUCGCCGAUUUCAGAAACGAAUGGAGCGAGAGGCGGUGAUUACUCGCAACCGAUUGACCACCCUAGAGCACAGAGUGAGCACGCUUGAGUCACUACAAAAGUGGUCGGGAAAAAUGCUUCAAGCUCUCGUACGUCAUCUACUAUGUGGUCAACCCGAGAUAGAUGAGCCGGAACCUUUGCCGGCACCGAUCCUUGAGCCAGUACCUGAGCUUUCGGACGAUGAGGAUGACGGUGGUCCACACGAGCGAGAUGGAGGAGCGCAGCCCGGCGAUGGGCGUGCCGACUAGUCAGGUGUUUUCUAUCCUUGAACUUUGUGCUAAUUACAUUGAGGGCAAUGUAAAUUUUAAGUUUGGGGGUGGGAAAUUACUUGUUUUUAUGUGCUUUAUUUGUUUUUAGUUUGCAUGCCUUAGGAUUUCUUUUUUUAGUUUAGUUUAUUUAGUUUAUUUUUUUUUAUAUAUAAAAAAAAAAAAAAAAAAAAUUGCUUAGAUGAAUGCAUUGAUGAAUCAUGAUGAUGGGAGAUGGUUGAUGUUUGAUGAUGAAUUUACUUGCUUUGUUGUGAUUAUGAUCGAAUUUUGGUGAGCUUUCGAUUCAAAGUGUCUUAGGAAUGAGUCAUUGUUACGAAUCACGAUUUAUGCAUUGCUUUGGUUGAAAGUUUUGUGUUUUAAAAUUGGAGUUAAUUUAUGCUACAUCAUAUGGUGUUCGGUUUUAGAACUCACCUUAGCAAUUUGCAAAGUGAAGUAUUGAGUCGUUGAGUCAAUUGGGAGAUGAUUUGGGCCUUCUUUGAACCGUUUGAGCCUUUCAAGCCUACCUUUAAUUCUUUUAUCCAUAGAACCUUGAUUGAGCCUUGUAGAAACGGUGUUCUUUCAUUUAGCCAUGAUUAAACGGGUAGAAUAGGUGGAGUUUCUUAGAUAUAUCCCUUGGAGUAUGGUCGAGAAAAAAAAAAAAAAAAAAAAAGAAUAACGAUGAAUUCUUCUUCUUCUUCGAGAAAAAAAAAAAAAAAAAUAAAAAAUUGAAAGGAUCUUCGAUUAGAAAAAAAAAAUGAGAAGAAGAAGAAGAAGAAAUAGAAGGGAAGGAAAGGACUUGAGCAAAAUCUUGAAAAAAUCGAGUAAGUAAUAAGUCCUUAGAGGUGAUGUAAUAAUUCCAAAAGCAGAGUUUUGGCGAAAACACCUCAAGUCAAGAAGAACGUGAAAAAUUCCUUUAGUGCAACUCUUAGUCACUAAAUGUAGAUCAAAAGGAGAAGAGUAGCCACUUUUACCCAUAAUUUAUACCUUGUACCAAAAGCCCAAUAUUUGAAAGCCAAAAAGUCCCAAUGAUCCCAAUAUCUCAAUUAUUUGAUAUUAACCGAGUAAAGAAAUUUGGUGAGUCUUUGGAGUCAAAUAUUAAUAUGUAAGCAUAAAUUUUCUCCAUUUUUAGAUUACAAAUAUGGGAUACUUGAAGCGAGAGCAUGUUUUGUGGUUUUUAGCAAUGGUAAGUUAAUAAGUAUCUUUGAGUUGCGAGCUUGCAAAGUUUUGAGAGUUUUCAUGAUAAUUACAAGUUCUGAAAACGUAAAAUCGACCAUUGAUCUAUGUGAUGAGGUGCAUUUGUUAAUUGUGUUGCUUUGAAUUGUUGCUAAUUUUUGCUUGAGGACACGCAAAAGUUCAAGUUUGGGGGUGUGUUGAGUGUAGAUUUUACACUCAAUUUAUACUUUCUUACGGGGAUUUUUGUGUGAAUUUUAUGAAUUAAGGGUUCUUAAUGAUGCUUUAUUUGUAUUUUAGGUGCAAUUUAAAGAUUCGAGAGUUUCGGAGGUGAAAAGAGCGAAAACGGGUCAAAAACGGGCAAAAACGAAGAAAUCAUGUCGGAGGCUGAAAUUGACCUGAGACGGCCGUAUGAGAUUUAGCCUAAUUCUGGGACGGCCGUCUCAAAUGCUGGAAAUCAAACAGUAGGUUCAAAAAUUCGAGACGGCCGUGUGAGAUUUGAACUGAUUCUCACACGGCCGUGUCAAAACACGCUGAAGAGCAAAUUUGGAGUUCUAAUCACACAAGGAAACCCGGAUCUCAUACCAAGUGAAACACCUAUUUAAAGGAAAACCCUAAGCACGAAUUAGAGGAUCUUUUACACAAUCUUAGAGCGAGAAGAGCGAGCGAACGGAGAGUCGAAGACGAAGACUUGACAAAUCUUCAUCAUAGUUCCUCCAUUAAUUCUCUUUUCUUAAUCUAUGUAUUUUCAUAAUUUUAUGUCGUUUUUCGAGAACAUGAGUAGCUAAACUUUUAAUCUAGGAUUUUAUUGGAACCCUAUGUGGUGAUUCGAACCUCUUUUUCUAAUAUUAUGCAAGUUUAAUUUCUCGAUUAUUUCUUCUAUUCAAUUUUAUUUAGUGCAUGAACUUAGCUAAUUUAUGUUACUAUGUGUUAUUGUUAGAAUUGCAUCGACAGAUCGUUUUAACAAUUAGAACUAGGAUAGAAGAGCCUUCGAGUAGUUUUCACCGGAUUAGUGUGUUAAUUGCAUGUGGUAUCGUAGACAUAUAGAUAUCGCCUUAGGUAGCCAGUUUCGAGACUUGUUGUUAAUGCUUUAUUCAUGAUUGGUUUGCAUAGACAUAUAGUGAAUCGUUUAUGAAUAAUAGAAUUAUAAUACACGCGACAGCGGGUUAUAAGUAAAUUAGUGUCUCGGGUUAAUAAUCAGAAAUUGAAUUUGCAUAAUAGAGGUUAAAUUGGGUGAAGAAUUAUCGCAUAGGGGGAAGAUAAAAUCCUAGGUCCUUUUUCAUUGAUAUUUUCCCGUGUUUAUUUGCUUUCGUGUUUAGUUUAUAAUUUAGAUUCCAUAAUCGUGACAAACUUGCGUAGGCUGGAUAAAAAUCAUAGUUGUUAGAAUUCGGUACUUAGGGUUAGAUAAUUUGAGUAUUCCCUGUGGGAUCGACAUCCGACUCUUUCGAGUCCACUUUUACUACUUGUUUGCGAUACGUGCACUUGCGUGUUAGGUAUUUUGCCCAACAAUAUACAUAAGAGAUGAGGGACUAAAAUGAUGCAUUCUAGCAAUGAGGGACUAAAAUGAUGCAUUUUAGAAAGGGUUAAUAGCAUUUUGCCCCCCAGACUUUGAUGUGUUUUGCACAUCACCACCUAGACUAAAAAAAGUUGCACGAUGCCCCCCCAAACUCUAUUAUUUAGAGCACCCAUCACAUUCUUCACCUGAAAUGCGAGUGUGCCAAUCAGACGUGAAUUUUCAGGGGCAAAAUUGUCAAACCAACUAAUUUUAUUGUAUCCAUCUCCCCGUCAUCAUCUUCUUCAUCACCUUUCACUAACCCAUUUCUGUUGGAAGUUGAUAAGCUAGAUUCAUUUCAAGGUAUUGAAGACUCUAGAAUUUUCUAGAGAAUGAAUGUGGACAAUGCAUGAAUGUGUCUCUUGGUUUGAUUCAUGUAUUUAAUUAUCGUAUUUAAUUAGGGAGUUAUAAUCUUAUUUAUUGUUGGGUUCAUGUAUUAUGUCUAGAUACAUGCUAGGAAAAUAGUAUAAAUAGCUAUGUAGUUUUUCAUUUGUAAGUGUGUCAAAAACAAGAAGAAGUCUAGUGAGAAAAAGAGAGUCUUGAGUGAGUUUUUUGUAAUAGGGUCGAUUGAGUGAGAAAUAUAAUAUAAGUGUGUGUUUUAUCUCCUCUCCACUACUCCUCCUCUCUACUUUGAUUUUAUUCCGCUGCGUGUUUAUCACUCUAUAUAUUUAAAUCGAUCCAACAAAGUGGCAUCAGAGCCACGUUUUAGAGAAGAGAAAACGAUGGCAAACUCAAGUGCAUCUUUCCCAUUCCAAAAGCUCGCGAAAGAAAACUAUGAUCGGUGGAGCAUUCAAAUGAAGACUUUUCUUGGUGGACAAGACGUUUGGGAAGCCGUUGAAGAAGAAUAUGUAGAACCGGAGAAUUUGGCUUCGGCAAGCCAAGCCCAAAAGAAGACCGCAAAAGAAGCAAUGGUGAAAGAUCAAAGGGCUCUUUCCAUCAUCCAACUCGCCGUAGAUGAUAGUAACUUUGAGAAAAUUUCUCAAGCUACUACGGCGAAACAAGCGUGCGACAUUCUUAGCGAUGCUUUCAAAGGCGUCGAUAAGGUGAAGAAGGUACGACUCCAAUCACUUCGUGGAGAAUUCGAGUCGUUGAAGAUGAAAGACUCCGAAGAAGUUUCCGACUACGUCUCAAGGGUGGUUUUGAUCGUUAACCAACUUGAGAGAAAUGGUGAGAAAAUGGAAGAACAAAGGGUCGUCGAGAAGAUACUUCGAUCCCUUACUGAGAAGUUCGACUACAUCGUCGUGGUAAUCGAAGAGUCUAACGACGUUGAUAGUCUUAAGGUGAACGAGAUAUUGGGCAAAUUGCAAGUCAUGAAGAGAAGAUCAAAAGGCGAAACAAAGGGCCCGAAGUAGAGCAAGCCCUUCAAGCAAAGACGAACCACUCCGACCAACCGAAAUAAGAUGGAGCUCGUUUUCGAGGUAGAGGUAGAGGCCGUGGUCGAGGACGCGGUCGUGGUCGUGGUAGAGGUCGUGAAGGACAAGUCUCUCACAACAAUGUCGAGACUAAACAUGAGAAUCGACCAACAAGAAGUCGUGGAAGAGGUGGCUUCAAUCGACGUCAAGACAAGAAGGAUGUCGAGUGUUACAAUUGUCACCAAUAUGGACACUUUGCAUGGGAGUGUCGAAAUGAGUCAAGUGAGGAAAAGACUCAUUAUGCCGAAGAAGCGAAGAACGAAGUUGAAGGCUUAUCCCUAAUGGCGUGCAAAACAACGACGGAGGAGAAAGAUAGCUUGUGGUAUCUUGAUUCGGGUGCGAGCUGUUAGGAUAGUAGACUAAAAGCCUAGCUUUUAUCUAUGUAAACAAUUUCCUUUUAAAUUAAUAAAACUUUAUUUUAUUUUUCGAGAAUUGCAUAUUGGAUAUUAAUUGCAUUUUAAUUAGCUUGUUGAUUAUUCAAUAUAUUUUAAUGCAUGGUCCUUAUAUUUCAAUAGUACUCGAAUUGGUGUCCUGACUUAGAUGUAGGGCACAGAAGAUCUUUUCGAGAGUUCUUUUGAAAUAUUAAGAUAUAAUGUUCACAAUCUUUAAUGGAAUUGGACAAACCAUUAGAAAAGAUUGUAGUGCAAUAUUUAAGUAAUUUAUCUUAAUUACGGUAAACGGAUAAUAACUUUAGUAGUUAUUGUUUUGACUUAUUGCACUAGCACACCCGGCAUGUGUUGAACAUGAAGAAGUGAAAUGAUCGUCUCGUAGAUGUUAAAUCGAGAUAAUAUCAUUUCUAGGGUUUUCAGAAUAUUAUUUGUUUCUCUCAAUCCCUAGAUAAUUAAUGUACAUAUUUAGUUGAUUGUCUCCACUUUGAUAUUCCAAUGGGAGAGACUCCUUUUUGUGAGUCAAGCGAUUCCCGGAUCAUUGGGUGGAGAGACUCCUUUUUGGGAGAGUGCAUUGCGAAGAAGGAUGUUUAAGUGAAGUUCGUGAAAUCGGAAGAUCAAAUUGCCGAUAUCUUCACGAAGCCCCUCAAGAGAGAGUUGUUCGAAAAGUUAAGGAGUCAACUUGGAAUGCGAGAAUCAAGCUUAGGGGGGCGUGUUGGAAGUUGAUAAGCUAGAUUCAUUUCAAGGUAUUGAAGACUCUAGAAUUUUCUAGAGAAUGAAUGUGGACAAUGAAUGUGUCUCUUGGUUUGAUUCAUGUAUUUAAUUAUCGUCUUUAAUUAGGAAGUUAUAAUCUUAUUUAUUGUUGGUUCAUGUAUUAUGUCUAGAUACAUGCUAGGAAAAUAGUAUAAAUAGCUAUGUAGUUUUUCAUUUGUAAGUGUGUCAAAAACAAGAAGAAGUCUAGUGAGAAAAAAAAGAGUCUUGAGUGAGUUUUUUGUAAUAGUGUCGAUUGAGUGAGAAAUAUAAUAUAAGUGUGUGUUUUAUCUCCUCUCCAGUCUCCACUACUCCUCCUCUCUACUUUGAUUUUAUUCCGCUGCGUGUUUAUCACUCUAUAUAUUUAAAUCGAUCCAACAAUUUCCUCCAAAUUGUAUCUCCCAAUUGUCUAGAUGAAUCUCACUCUCCCGCCUCUUACUUUACAGACGCACACAACACACAGUAAUUUACAGAACUUUCUUUUGGUAAGAACGAGCCUACUCAGACCCAUUACAAGAUGCUCGUUAACAAAAUCCUCCAACAAUGUUCUUCUUCCCCACCCACUGAACAAAAAGUCAAAAUCCUGCCCAUCCUUUCCUCAAAACCCCAUGUAGUACACAUCAACAUCAUCAGAUUUUCUUGUCAAUUUCCUCAGUAAAACACCCGUAAUUUCCCCCCAUUUCCAGUACCAUCUGCAAUUCUCACUUAACAGCACAAGGAAAAAGAAGACAAUCCCAAAAGUCUUUUCUCCUACAUUCAAUUUAUUAUUAUUUUUUUUUAUAACCACAUUCGUUGAACAUUGCUCGACAAAUGCCGUCGGGAAAAAUUGUCAGAUGCGUUGGCCAAAUGUGUCGGAAGUGGGUUUGGAUAUUUUGGUGAUAUACAUGUUAAUAAAAUUGGUGCUCUGUUGGUGGGGCGGUGGUCUGACGAUGAAAAUGUUGGUGAACUGAUAAAAUUAGUUAAUCAAAUGGUGAAGAAUAUGAUGAUGUGGCAGACCAUGAUUGGUGGAUAAGAUAAAUAAGUGAAUUGACAAUUUUACCCCUGAAAAACACGUGUGAUUGGCACACUCGCAUUUCAGGUGGAGUUUUGGUCGGAAAUGUUCGUCGGUGCUCCAAAGUCCAAAUAAUAGAGUUUAGGAGGCAUUGUGCAACUUUUUUUAGUUUAGGAAGUGAUGUGCAAAACGCGUCAAAGUUCGGGAGGCAAAAUGUUAUUAACCCUUUUAAAAAUGAGAGACUAGAGUGGAAUUGACUAGCAAAGAGAUUUGGCCUAUAUAAAUAUAUAAUCUGCCCGCACUAAAACAUAACACAGAAACCCUAGCUCAAAGAUCUGCCCCCUCGUUUUGGAAAAUUCCGGCCGAAACUUCAUAGGGCCUCUUUUUAUUUUAAGGUACCGUAUUUCUCCAUGCUCCUUUUUUAAUUGUUUGAUAUUGGUGUGCCAUUCAUUUAGGUCAGAUAUAUUUCUGUUCUUCGCCCAUUUUACGUAUAUUGGCUUCAGUUCGAGUAAUGCGACUCUCGGGUUUAUUGAAGCUUGUGUUUAAUUUAGGGUUUAUGUUGGAAAAAUUUGGGUCUUUAGUGGGAGUUUUGCUAAAGAUCUAGACUUGAGAUCUAGACUUGAGAUGAUUAUAAAGAUCUAGACUUGCCGCCACAAUGAUACGAAUUAGAAGCUAUUGUUUUUCUGCGGUGCUGGUCAAUUGUAAUAGGAUUUGAGUUUCGCCGUGGUUUUGGCUUUAUGAUUGCUUCCUUUGUUGUUAGAGUUUGAAAUGAUAUCAGUUUCAUUCUAAUUUGAGAAAAUGCCUGCUGACUCCUUAAUUUCAGAUAUUUGAAAAAAAAAAUGUUUUCUUUUAAAACAGAAUUGGAUGCUUGUAAGAUUGUUUACAUUGUUGAACCCGGAAACAAAAUUAGUCUCUGCAGAUAGCAUUCUAAAAGCCUCUCAUUAUUUGAAAUAACAAGCAGAUCACCAGUGCUGUAUUUGUUGGUAUUCUGUGGAUGUUGAUGCAUUCAUUUUGACUAUUUCAUAUCUAGAAAUGCUAUUGUAUGUUUUGGUUGUUUUCUAAUUUCUUUAACUUAUACGCAGACCACUCGGGUGCAGACAUGAUUGAUCGUUUUAUCCACAAUAGGAUGUUCAGGGAUUAUAAUGAAGCAAAUAAGGUGAGGUUGAACGGGAAGUAUAUUGAGCUUCAAUUAACUCGGAGGUUUAUGGCAGAGGUGGUUAUGUUGCCUAGUCCGCUUGUUAAGUGCAUUUUGGAGAAAAAUAUGGAGGAGAAGAUGCGUGUCGGUGAAAUUAAAGAAGGUGAUUCGGUUACUGUUGACCUUGGUUCUGAUGGGAAGAUAUUGGUUCUUGACAGUAGAAGCGGUACUCUGGCGGAAGAGGCUGAGGAAGGUAGCAGUGGUGCUCCGGCAGAAGAGGGUGAGGAAGGUAGCAGUGGUGCUCCGGCAGAAGAGGCUCCGGCAGAAGAGGCUGAGGAACCAGUUAUUGUCUAGAUGUGGGCCCCAUUGUCCUUUUUCCUGUGGUGUUUAUUUAUUAUUAUUUUUUUAUCGUUCUGGCUAUGUUGAGGUGACUGUGUAGAGCCAGUGCAACGAGAAUGAUUUAGAGUGCUCUUUAACUUCAGAAUCGUUCUGGCUGUGUUGAGCUGACCUCCCAAUUGUUAUAGUAGACUAAAACUUUCCUAUGUAAACAAUUUAUUUUUAAUAAAAGUUUAUUCGUUCGAGAA